GGAAAGGAACCCUUAACGGAACUAUUCUCCCUGGAAGAUGUUUCUUACUAACCAUGUAAUAUAACAUAGCUAGUUGGGCACUUGUCUGAUAAAGCAAUUAUGACCCCGACGCCUUGUCUCCACGCAUGCCCCGGUUCUUCUAUAACCGUAAGGGUAUUCGGACACACUCUGGACUGUUGGGUCCCGAGGUUGAAGCGAAAAGGUCCGCAAAGACAAACGAUCUACAAUCCGGAUAGAAGGCAUUUUACAUGUCAUUUCAAAUUACAUCGUCAAACUGACUGAUUGUACUCCUCUUCAAUCCCAUCUAACAGGCUGUCUAAUUUACAGUCCUGUUGGGAAUAUUUCGCGGCCAGUUCUACUUGGCCAUACAUCAAGCUCACAGGGAUCUCCUUCCCAUCAGGCCCCGCAGGUCCAACCUCGGCCAUGUGGUUUGGGUCAGCCGGAUGUGUACCUCGAGCACACCUAAAGACACAUUUCUGUCAAUCGACUUCCUCGCCGAAUUCUUCUUUUCAAAGGAAUUUGCUCAAGCACUUACCAUAAAUGCCGCGGCGAAGCCGCUGAUUCUCCUUCACGGAGCCAGACAGCUGGGCCCGAACACCUUUCAGCUCUUCUCCUAGCUGGGUGUGGGCAUCUUGGAGCUUGUUUCUCUCCUGCUGCACCUUCAUAAGCACCCUCGCGCCGGCCUUUAGCUGACGCAGUAGUUGUUGCUUGUCCGGAUCUAGUCCGGCGCCCUCUGCAAUAUUAUUGUCAGAUUUAUGCACACGCCGCACUUUGUUAACAACUUAUCUUUUCGAAGUACGUAUUACCAGCGGGGGUCUCUGUGCCUCCCCCUAUGGUGGCUAGUGCGGCGUCAAGUUGGGCCUUGCACUCUUGGAGCUCCUGGGACAGGUGGGUAUUCUUCUCCGUAAGAUCCUGCAUAAUAAAUGAUCCUUAAAUCAGUUAUUUUAACUAUUUUAAGUCUCGGGGGCUACUAGCAUAUAUAACUAUUAAAAUUACUUACCCGUAUGUCCUUCACAUACUGCUCCGUGGCUCUGGUUAAACCAUCUUGAGCAGCACGGAGGUGCGCGUUUCCCGCAUCAAAGGCAUUCAACGCCUCCGGGGAGAAACACGCGUCACGAAGAACUGUCCGGUGACGCCUAUGAUUCAUGGCGCUCUCCACCUCAGAUCGGGUGGCGGACAGCCUGUCGGCAUCCUCCGUCGGAGGAGCAUCCGUCUCUUGCCUUGUGUUCGCCUCCACUUCCGGACCACACGAUGGAGCAUGGCUGGCGGAGGCUUGAUUGGCAACCUCUCCGGACACUGUCCGGCGAGCGCUCUUUCUCUUGGAAAAAGUUAUGAGCGUUAAUAUACCUCAUAGGGAUCCUUCCCUUAAAAACAACGGUGCGCCGUACCAUUGCGGCGACGUUUCGAUUUGCGUCACACUCCUCUUCCGCCUGCUGGGCCGAAUUGACCCUUGCUGGUCAGCCACCGCAGGUUCGGCUUCCUGCCUUAAAGGCACCUCCCGCGAUGCACCAUCAGUAUAGGAUGGUCAGAAUUGAGCACGGAUCAAAUGAUGGUGUCAAGACCUCGGUCGUAGUCACCUGGGAGGCCGGAAUCAAACCGGGGUAGUCAGCCGUAAUGGCGACUAGGGCAUUGUCCAUGCUAAGUUGGUGGAACACCCCGUCAAUCAGCUCCACCUUUAUGUCUGGAUCCUCUUCAGAGGUCGGAUCAAGGGAUCGUUCUGGAUCCUCGGGCUGUGGAGUUAGGCUUCGUAUGCCCUCCACGUCCCGGCGCAACUCCUGCGUCGAAAUCACAAAGUAAAAUACUUGACUUUGGAAGUAUGGAUCGGGUAGAUAAACGUCCGCUUACCCAGCUCUAAGGGUUAUUCAUGGAGAAUCCGUUCAAUGGAUUCGUGCGGAGAAAGUCCUCCUCCUCCCCCUUGUACAAGCCGGACAGGAUCUUUGCCAGAUCGGCUGCCGAGCUCGGCCCUCUGCGGCCAUGACGGCUGGCGUCGUCUUCCCUGUUGAAAUCCCACAUAGGGUGGCCCCUAUAUUGGAGUGGCUGCACCCCUCGCAUAAUGCACGUGGCCAUGAUUCCAAUCAUGGUCAAUCCGGAGUGGGCCAGUAACCUAAUCCGGCCCAUCAGAUAAUGGACGCUCCUAUCAUCCUCCCGUUGAGAGCUCCGCGGGCGCCAACUCAGGCGUUUCUUCAAGGGAGCAUUGCUGAACUCCGGGAGGUUGAUCCGAACUGGAUCUGGCAGAGGGGCGUCCUCCAUAUAGAACCAUUCCGAAGGCCAGUCUUCGGACGCCUUCUUCGGGGUGCCGGAUAGAUAUCCGGUCCCGGCGAUGCACCAUAUUUCGGCUCCGCCCACUUGAUAUAUUGACCCCUCAUAAGAACGGGGUACAAGGCAAAACAAUCUCUUCCACAUCGCAAAAUGGGGCUCGAUGCCCAGGAACAGCUCGCAAAGAGCUACAAAGCCCGCGAUGUGCAAAAUGGAUGCAGGUGUGAGGUGGUGGAGCUAGAGUCCAUAGAACUCCAGGAGCCCCCGGAGAAACUAAUGUAUGGGAAAUCCGAGUCCCCUUAUUAGAUAAGGGACAAAGCAUACCCGCUCUCCUUUGGAAGGGUUGGGGACGCUCUCCGCCUGCUUUCCACCCUUGAAGGUGGCCAGUCCGGCUCGAACCGAAACCAUGAAAGCUGGGGGAAGAUAUCCCUCGGUUUGGAGCGCCACUAGCUCGCUGUGUGGAACUGAGCAUCUCCCCCAAUCUCCUGGCUUAGGGCUGGGAGCGCAAGAGGAGGAGCCGCGUCGACUAUCCAUGAUGGAAUGGAUUUUUGUCAGAAGCGAUUUGAUGAGAACUUGCGAAUGGAGGAUGGUGUGAGCUGGAUCUAGAUCCUCGCCUCUCUUAUAGGUGGCUCGUUCGCACGGCUAGGGGGUAAAAUGUAAAAAUACCCUAGCUUUUCGCAUUCAUACGACACGUGGAAGAAGGCCAUUAUUGGGCGUAGAAGCCAAGGAGCGCAAGGUUUAUAAGGAAGCCGGACACUAUUCGACAGGAACAUGAAGUUUGAGGGAGAACCCGCCUUGCAACGCCAAAGACAAUAUACACGCCGGACUCGUCGUCGCUGAAGCCCGGUUCAGGGGCUACUGAGGGAGUCCCGGACUAGGGGGUGUCCGGAUAGCCGAACUAUCAUGGUCGGCCGGACUCCAAGAUUAGGAAGAUACAAGAUUGAAGACUUCGUCCCAUGUCCGGAUGGGACUUUCCUUGGCAUGGAAGGCAAGCUUGGCGAUACGGAUAUGUAGAUCUCCUACCAUUGUAACCGACUUUGUGUAACCCUAGCCCUCUCCGGUGUCUAUAUAAACCGGAUGGCUUUAGUCCAUAGGACGAGGAACAAUCAUACCAUAGGCUAGCUUCUAGGGUUUAGCCUCCUUGAUCUCGUGGUAGAUCUACUCUUGUAACACACAUCAUCAAUAUUAAUCAAGCAGGACGUAGGGUUUUACCUCCAUCAAGAGGGCCCGAACCUGGGUAAAACAUUGUGUCCCUUGUCUCCUGUUACCAUCCGCCUAGACGCACAAUUCAGGACCCCCUAUCCGAGAUCCGCCGGUUUUGACACCGACAGAGGGGUUAUCCUCCGUUGCCUCAUCGCCAUUGGUUUCUUUCGGAGUGUCCACCAUAUAAAUAUCGUAUGAAGAGGUGGCUGUCCACCGCCCUGUGAGCGGUGGCUCCUGUACGUCUCCUGCAUCGUCGUCCAUACUGUCGAUGUCUUCGAAGUCGAAGUCAAGCACGUCGGUUAAAUCAUUGACCGUGGCAAUGAAGUGGGAGGUGGGUGGGCAGCGAAUUCCUUCGUCACCUGCUUCCCACUCAAGGCGGACAUAGUUCGGCCCAGAGCCUCCUGACAAAGAGAGAAAGACUUUAAUGAGUUCAGCAUGUCGCCAAAGGGCGAGUGCUGAAAGAUGUCCGCAUCGGUAAACUCCAUUACCGGAGCCCAACCUGGCUUGGCUGGCUCGAGGGUACGCGGACCGAAACCAACAAUCGGAUACGAGUCCGGGGGCCCAGGGUUACAGGCCUCCACAGAGGUGAGACCUGUAUUCGGCUCUACUGCCGAUGAGUAUGCGGCCUGCAGGGCAGGGUCUACCCCUCCGUCCUUGGGCGACGCAACCUGCUCCGGAUUUAGAUCUGGGGCUGCUACAGGGAUGAUGUCCCGAGCAUUGUCCGAUGGCAGGUCUAGGUCGUGCUCGUCGUGACUGUCCGGCGCUCCUGGCAUAGGUCCGAAUCCAUCGAAGAUCAAGUCUCCGCGAAUAUCCGUUGUGUAGUUCAAGUUUCCGAACCUGGUCUCGUGGCUAGGGGCGUAGCUAUCGAUCUGCUCCAACUGACCAAGCGAAUUGGCCCGCAGUGCGAAGCAGCCGAACACGAAGAUCUGUCCGAGGAGACAAGUCUCGCCCUGGACCGUGUUGUUGACGAUUGAAGACACCAUCAAGCCUCAAAGCGACAACACAGAGGAACUCUCAAUGAAAGCACCAAUGUCGGUGUCAAAACCGGCGGAUCUCGGGUAGGGGGUCCCGAUCUGUGCGUCUUAGGCUGAUGGUAACAGGAAGAUGGGGACACAAUGUUUACCCAGGUCCGGGCCCUCUCGAUGGAGGUAAAACCCUACCUCCUGCUUGAUUAAUAUUGAAGAUAUGUGUAAUACAAGAGUAGAUCUAUCACGUGAUCAUAGAGGCUAAACCCUAAGAGCUAGCCUAUGAUGGUAUGAUUGUAAAUGUGAUCGGCCUUCUGAGGACCAUCCUCUCCAGUUUAUAUAGACACCGGAGAGAGCUAGGGUUUACAUGGAGUCGGUUACAAGCAAGGAAAUAUAAUAUCCGGAUCGCCAGGCUUGUCUUCCACGCAAAGGAGAGUCCCAUCCGGACACGGGCCGGAGUCUUGAGUCUUGUAUCUUCACGCUUCAAUAGUACGAACGAUGUAUAUAGUCCGGCUGUGCAGAUACCCCCUAAUCCAGGACUCCCUCAGACGUCGUUGUCCUCCGGCUGCCUGCCGGCCAGCCGGUCGGCAGCAAUGGCUGCCAUCUCCUUGUGGUCCGUGGUCCGCCCGUCCCGAAGAGCGCUAGAGCGCGAGGAAGCCAUGGUGGGCAAUAGUGGUGUGGACAUGAGAAAGGGAACGAAUGCGGAUGACUGCCGCUAUGGCCGGCGCAGCAGUUUAUAUAGCAAUGGUGGGCGGCAGAGGGACGGACGUGUGGCGCCAGAGUAGUCGCCUCGGCAACCACGUAUCGUUAAUGUGGGCGGCAGAUGGACGGACGGAUGGCACUUGUGUCGUUUGAAGGCGGAGCAAUCGCCUACACCGGGAAGCGGGGUGGGCGGCGCUUACUGUUUCGGGCGGAAAGCGCGCGCGGGUGGGAGAUGACUUUACUUGGAGAGGAUGACAAUGGGGACCCACCAGGGCCAUAGCCUCAUGUACGCAAGUGCCUCCUUAUUAUAUAUAUAUAUAUAUAUAUAUAUAUAUAUAUACACACACAUAUAUAACUAUAACUUAUUUUGCUUCCUCCUGGUUUCCUGACAUCACAAUCCCACACCAUUAUCAACCUAUGUACUCCCUCCUUUCCGGUUUAUAGGGCUUAUCUCAUAAUUUUAGUUUUUCCAUUUUAUAAGACUCAAUUUGGUUGUUUUCCAUCACAUGUUUAGAUUCCAAGGUGCAUUAAAUCAUUGCAUGCAAGUAUUAAGAGAAAAUUGACCAAUGCAUGUACUUUAUGCAUGCAUGCAUUGCAAUUAAUGCAUUGAUAAACAUAAUUUUUUGAGGAAAACAAGAGCGUUAAUUAGGUGCUUUUGCAAAACUACAAAAACUAUUCCACCACUCACCAUCUACCUUGAUUGGUGAGAUUUUUGAAUUGAGCACUAUAAACCGGAAAGAAGGGAGUAGUCAAUAAACGAGAGAAUUGCACAAGAAGCGGCCGACAGCUGGACCAACCAGCUCGAGCAGUAUUUGUGUUUUUGAGGUGUGAGUAGUGUAGAGUUUUUGAUGUUUAGCCCAGAUAUUAAUUUUUCUCCUCUGAACAACAAUGAAAACAUCGCUGCAGGUAUUAACUGGGCGGGCUGUGACCCGUCUAGCCCAGGCCAGAUAUCCAGCCCAGAUAUUAAAAAAAAUUCAAACUGAAAAUGGCUAGCCCAGCUAUACUUUUUUUAGGAAUACCCAGGCAAGGUCAAGUUGUUAUUCUCCGCCCCGCUGGGCUGCAAAUCUUUCCUAGGAGGGAUGCAUUAGGCUUAACAAGAAAAUGGGCUUUAAGAAAUAAUAAAUGGGAUGUAACUAUAAAAAUUGGGCAGUAACUAUAAAAAAUGCACCAAACACGUAAUUACUUUAUAAAAUAUUAUUUUUGGAUAUUGAAAUUUUUAAUUUCAUUAAUUGUUGCGAGUGCAAUGUUUCGUUGGAUUUUUACGUAAUAUAAAUUUAUAUUGAAAUUGUAUUUAAUAUGACUAGAAAUUUCAGGAUAAAAAUAUUUCGGAUCCCAUCAAAAUGUGGGAAAUUUUAUUGAAUUCUGUUUUGAAUGGUUGGUUGAAAUGGGCUGUACUUUUAACAAACUAUAAAUGAGCUGUAGUAAAUUCCAUUAGAAUUCAAAAAUGGGCUGCACAUUCUUACAAAUCUCAAAUAGGCUAUAAGUUCUCUGCCACACACUUCUGGCCUUACUAAGUUGACGCGUCCCCUAAAAAAAGAGAGUUGACGCGUAUGCAAGGCUUUGUCAACUUAUAGUCAACACACGGUUCUAGUAGCAGUGGCCAUUGGAUGUCCAUCCAACGGAUGCCGUACUUCUUCUUCAAUCUCGGAUAUUCUAGCUUCACCCGCCCAAAAAAUGAUUCCUCCCCCUGACAUCUGGGGCGCACCGUUUCGGAAGCUGACCUGUGGGCCUACUAAGUUGACGUACCAAGGGCUUUGUCAACUUAGUCAAUAUAAACGAUUCUAGCUGCAGUGACUGUACGAUGUCCAUCCAAUGGCCAUCGUGCUUCUUCAACCUCUGGUCUUCUUGCUUCAGCCGCCUAAAGCAGCGCCGGUCAUGUCGCCUCCUCCUGCCUCCCGUGGACAGUUGUGCUGCCGCGGAGGCCUCACCGCCCCCUACUACUCCCACCGCUAGCCAGGCCAUCCCUCCACUCACCCACACCCCCUGUUAUUCUGCGGUGACGACAGCCUCACACCGUAGCCGAACCAGUGAACCCUCGUACUCCUCUUCGCAUGUGCAUCCACUGUUGCGCCUUCCCCGGCUCCGCGAUGUCCCCUUCCUAGGCCUCACCGUCAUCCACCGCUGUGGUGCUCUUGGCGCGACAUUGUCAACGUGGUCAAGGAACGACUUCCAUCGGACGUGGAUUGUACGUGGAGAGGCUGACAGCUUGGUCCACGGCCACAGCAAGGAAGUGCCUCCUUAUUACGCGGAAAAUAAUGAUACCUCCACCUAACAGCAGGGACCCACCAGACAGGCCACUGUAUUUCGUGAAAAAAAACCUUUCUCCCCUGACUGCUGGGACCCACCAGCUACAUUUUCACACGCAAGGAAGUGCGUCCGGGCAAAAAAAAUGAUUCGCCCCCGUGACUGCUGGGACCCACCAGCUACAUCUUCGCACGCAAGGAAGUGCCUGACAGUCGGGACCCACCUGGUCGAAGCAUACGUAGCGUUGUCAUUCUAGCCGCGAACGUGUACGUACAUAUAUACUGGUCGAUGUAGAGGCGCGCACGUAGCAUGUACACGUACGUACAGUGGCCAGUGUGCAAGAAAGAAAAUACGGCCACGGAUGUGUACAUAUGGGCGGGGUCUCAAACACCUACUCGCGCAUAUGUACGGCCAGGGCUCGUGUACAUGGCUGGGUCGGAACAGAGAAACAGCAUUGUCGUCGUGUUCAUGGGGAGCCAACCGGCUGGGUCGGAACGGAAUGCAUCGUCGUGUUCAUCGGGAGGGCUUGGACGGAACAGGCGAUGGAAACGAGGCCUGGCGUACCACAGAAUGGAGGAAACGUCCUUGUGUUCGACCGUCCACGUUCAAAACAGGAUCCUGUUCAUCGGGAGGGGUCUGGCGUACCGCAAAAUGUAGGAAACGGACCUCCUAUGGUCGAAACGGGGGUCCUGUUGAUUGGGAGGGGUGUGGCAUACCGCAAAACGGACAAAACCGACUUGUGUUGGAGCGCUACGGUCGAAAUGGGGGUCCUGUUGAUCGGAGGGGUGUGGCGUACCGCAAAACGGACAAAACAGACUUGUGUUGGAGCGCUACGGUCGAAACGGGGGUCCUGUUCAUCGGGAGGGGUGUGGCAUACCGCAAAACGGGACUCCACGGGAUACUGUUCAUCUCCAUCGUCGACCUCCUCCAGCCUCCAUGGGCUAUUGUUCAUCCACUAUCGACCUCCUCCAGCCUUCACCUGUGACUGUUCAUCCACGGGCUCCUGUUCAUCUAGCCUCCACCGCGCGCUACUCCACUGGCUACUGUUCAACCACCCCUCUCCACGGGCUCCUGUUCAACCACCCCGGGCUACUGUUCAUCCACCCCUUCGCCUUCUACUGUUUAUCCAGCCCUCCACGGGGUCGUCNNNNNNNNNNNNNNNNNNNNNNNNNNNNNNNNNNNNNNNNNNNNNNNNNNNNNNNNNNNNNNNNNNNNNNNNNNNNNNNNNNNNNNNNNNNNNNNNNNNNNNNNNNNNNNNNNNNNNNNNNNNNNNNNNNNNNNNNNNNNNNNNNNNNNNNNNNNNNNNNNNNNNNNNNNNNNNNNNNNNNNNNNNNNNNNNNNNNNNNNNNNNNNNNNNNNNNNNNNNNNNNNNNNNNNNNNNNNNNNNNNNNNNNNNNNNNNNNNNNNNNNNNNNNNNNNNNNNNNNNNNNNNNNNNNNNNNNNNNNNNNNNNNNNNNNNNNNNNNNNNNNNNNNNNNNNNNNNNNNNNNNNNNNNNNNNNNNNNNNNNNNNNNNNNNNNNNNNGUUCAUCCAAAAAGGCAGCAUUGAUCGGCUUCAGUUAGCAGCAGUAGCGAAGGAAUCGCUCGAUCGGGUUCAGUUAACAGUCAUCGAUCGAUCGCUUGGGUUCAGUAACGCGUAGCCUGCAGUGCAAUCGCUUGGGUUCAGUUAGAGCACAACGCCUCGCUCGGGUUCAGUUAGAGCCAAUGCCUAGCACACACGCGCGUACGUGUACGAGAGAAAUGCACAUCGCUCGGGCCCCUACCACCCACCGUAACCGAGAACUCCCCGAAAUUUUCCUCGCCCUCGCUUCUACCACGGUUUUUUCCGUCAUGGACAGCCCAAAGAAUGUCAUGCAGCUGCGUCUCUGGCCCGCCCAGGAUGAAAAGCCCAUUUUCUGUCAUGAUUUUUUGUCAUAGAAGUAGGAGCCCACCACAUCUAUGAUGAUACCGGGUUUUGUCACAAUUAUCGUCAUAGAAGUGUCAUAUGUAUGACAGGAAAAAAAUCCGUUCAGCCCAAAAUGUCACGGAUGUGUUUUUUUUGUAGUGAUUGCUCUCUAAAUAUGUAUGAUCUAUUAGUGUGAAGAAAAUAAGCUUUAUAUGAUCUUGUUAUGGAAUCAAUAAAAGUGAUGGACUGCAUAAUAAAGGUCCAUAUCACAAGUGGCAAUAUAAUGUGAUGUUCUUUUGCAUUAAGAUUUUGUGCAUCCAACCAUAAAAGCGCAUGACAACCUCUGCUUCCCUUUGCGAAGGGCCUAUCUUUUACUUUUAUCUUCUACCCUUAUACAAGAGUCAUGGUGAUCAACACCUUUCCUUUUUACAUUUUUUCCUUUGGCGAGCACCUUGUGUUGGGGUGAUUUGGAUAUAUAUAUAUAUAUAUAUAUAUAUAUAUAUAUAUAUAUAUAUAUAUAGGUGUUCAUAAAUUAUUGACAUUACCCUUGAGGUAAAAGGUUGGGAGGCGAAACUAUAAGCCGCUAUCUUUCUCUGUGUUUGAUUAAAACUUUGGACCCAUAAAUAUCACGUGAGUGUUAGCAAUUGUGAAAGAUUAAAUAAUAGUUGAGUAUGUGGAGUUUGCUAAAUCAAAGCUCUGACAUAGACCCUUCCUGAAAAUAAGAUGAAUUGCAAUUGUUUGAUGACUAAGAAUGAAGUUUGUUAGUUUUCAAGAAAGUUUAUGGUCUAUGCUUUAACAUGUGAAUAGCUUGUUACUUGAUCAUGAAAAGUUUUAUGAGAUGAACUACUGUUAUGACAUAUAAUAAUGCUAGAAAAGGUGAUUGAAAUUAUCAUUGAUCAAACUUAUGCACCUGCUAGCAUUCACACUUCAUAAAUUCUUUCUUUUAUCAUUUACCUACUCGAGGACGAGAAGGAAUUAAGCUUGGGGAUGCUGAUAUGUCUCCAACGUAUCUAUAAUUUAUGAAAUAUUCAUGCUAUUAUAUUAUCUGUUUUAGAUGUUUAAUGGGCUUUAUUAUACACUUUUAUAUUAUUUUUGGUACUAACCUAUUAACCAGAGGCCCAGCCCAUAUUGCUGCUUUUUUGCCUAUUUCGGUGUUUCACGGAAAAGGAAUAUCAAACGGAGUCUAAACGGAAUGAAACCUUCGAGCGAGUUAUUUUUGGAACGGAAGCAAUCCAGGAGACUUCGAGUUGAAGUCAGGGAAGCUUCAAGGUGGCCACGAGGCAGGGAGGCGCGCCCUACCCCCCUGGGCGCGCCCCCCACCCUUGUGGGCCCCUCGUGGCUCCCCUGAUCGACUUCUUUUGCCUAUAUAUACCCAUGUACCCUAAAACAUUAAGGAGCGGAAUAGAUCGGGAGUUCCGCCGCCGCAAGCCUCGGUAGCCACCAAAAACCAAUCGGGACCCUGUUCCGGCACCCUGCCGGAGGGCGGAUCCCUCACCGGUGGCCAUCUUCAUCAUCCCGGCACUCUCCAUGAUGAGGAGGGAGUAGUUCACCCUCGGGGCUGAGGGUAUGUACUAGUAGCUAUGUGUUUGAUCUCUCUCUCUCUCUCUCUCUCUCGUGUUCUUAAUUUGGCACGAUCUUGAUGUAUCGCGAGCUUUGAUAUUAUAGUUGGAUCUUAUGAUGUUUCUCCCCCUCUACUCUCUUGUAAUUGAUUGAGUUUUCCCUUUGAAGUUACCUUAUCGGAUUGAGUCUUUAAGGAUUUGAGAACACUUGAUGUAUGUCUUUCAUGUGCUUAUCUGUGGUGACAAUGGGAUAUUCACGUGAUCCACUUGAUGUAUGUUUUGGUGAUAAACUUGCGGGUUCCGUGACCUUGGGAAUCUAUGCAUAGGGGUUGGCACACGUUUUCGUAGAAACUUUGGGGCACUCUUUGAAGUACUUUGUGUUGGUUGAAUAGAUGCAUCUGAGAUUGUGUGAUGCAUAUCGUAUAAUCAUGCCCAUGGAUACUUGAGGUGACAAUGGGGUAUCUCGGUGACAUUAGGGUUUUGGUUGAUUUGUGUCUUAAGGUGUUAUUCUAGUAUGAACUCUAUGAUAGAUCGAACGGAAAGAAUAGCUUCAUGUUAUUUUACUACAGACUCUUGAAUAGAUAGAUCAGAAAGGAUACCUUUGAGGUGGUUUCGUACCCUACCAUAAUCUCUUCGUUUGUUCUCUGCUAUUAGUGACUUUGGAGUGACUCUUUGUUGCAUGUUGAAGGAUAGUUAUAUGAUCCAGUUAUGUUAUUAUUGUUGAGAGAACUUGCACUAGUGAAAGUACGAACCUUAGGCCUUGUUUCCUACCAUUGCAAUACCGUUUACGCUCACUUUUAUCGCUUGCUACCUUGCUGUUUUUAUAUUUUCAGAUUACAGAUACCUUUAUCUACCAUCCAUAUUGCACUUGUAUCACCAUCUCUGCGCCAAACUAGUGCACCUAUACAAUUUACCAUUGUAUUGGGUCUGUUGGGGACACAAGAGACUCUUUGCUAUUUGGUUGCAGGGUUGUUUGAGAGAGAGACCAUCUUCAUCCUACACCUCCCACGGAUUGAUAAACCUUAGGUCAUUCACUUGAGGGAAAUUUGCUACUGUCCUACAAACCUCUGCACUUGGAGGCCCAACAACGUCUACAAGAAGAAGGUUGUGUAGUAGACAUCAGAUUACCGUACCACUCUGGUGCAGAUCGUACUCCGGUUUACCUACGAGGUUUGGUAGUAAUCUUGAUCUGAAGUUUCAUGAUCAUCGUCAUUAGCUUCCUCGCUAACUAGUGUAGGAAUCACUGGAACUGAUUUCUAUGAUGAACUACUUUCCAAUUCGGGAGAAGGUAGAAUUACCUUGUCAAGUUCUACUUUCCUCCCACUCACUUCUUUCAAGAGAAUCUCCUUCUCUAGAAAGGAUCCAUUCUUAGCAACAAAGUUUUUUCCUUCGGAUCUGUGAUAGAAGGUGUACCCAACAGUUUCCUUUGGGUAUCAUAUGAAGAUGCACUUCUCUCAUUUGGGUUCGAGCUUAUCAGGUUGAAGCUUUUUCACAUAAGCAUCACAACCCCAAACUUUAAGAAAUAACAACUUUGGUUUCUUGCCAAACCACAGCUCAUAAGGCGUCGUCUCAACGGAUUUCGAUGGUGCCCUGUUUAACAUGAAUGUAGCUGUCUCUAAUGCAUAAUCCCAAAACUAUAGUGGUAAAUCGGUAAGAUACAUCAUAGAUCACACCAUUUAUCCAAUAAAGUGCGGUUACGAUGUUCGGACACACCAUUAUGCUGUGGUGUUCCAGGUGGCGUGAGCUGUGAAACUAUUCCACAUUGUUUUAAAUGAAGGCCAAACUCGUAACUCAAAUAUUCUCUUCCACGAUCAGAUUGUAGAAACUUUAUUUUCUUGUUAUGAUGAUUAUCCACUUCACUCUAAAAUUCUUUGAACUUUUCAAAUGUUUCAGACUUGUUUUUCAUUAAGUAGAUAUACUCAUAUCUGCUCAAAUCAGUUGUGAAGGUCAGAAAAUAAUGAUACCCGCCACGAGCAUCAACACUCAUUGGACCGCAUACAUCGGUAUGUAUUAUUUCCAAUAAGUCACUAGCUCGUUCCAUUAUUCAAGAGAACGGAGUUUUAGUCAUCUUGCCAUAAGGCACGGUUCACAAGCAUCAAAUGAUUCAUAAUCAAGUGAUUCCAAAAAGUCCAUCAGCAUGGAGUUUCUUCAUUCACUUUACACCGAUAUGACCCAAAUGGCAGUGCCACAAAUAAGUUGCACUAUUAUUAUCAACUUUGCAUCUUUUGGCAUCAAUACUAUGAAUAUGUGUAUUACUACGAUUGAGAUUCAAUAAACCAUCAACAUUGGGUGUAUGACCAUAUAAGGUUUUAUUCAUGUAAACAGAAUAACAAUUAUUCUCUGUCUUAAAUGAAUAACUGUAUUGCAAUUAACAUGAGCUAAUCAUAUUCAUGCUCAAUGCAAAUACCAAAUCAUGUUUAUUUAGGUUCAACACUAAUCCUGAAAGUAUAGGGAGUGCUCGAUGAUGAUAAUAUCAAUCUUGGAACCACUUCCAACACACAUCGUCACUUUAUCCUCAACUAGUCUCUAUUUAUUCUGCAACUCCUGCUUCGAGUUACUAAUCUUAGAAACCGAACAAGUAUCAAAUACCCAGGGAUUACUACGAGCACUAGUAAGGUACACAUCAAUAAUAUGUAUAUCAAAUAUACCUUUGUUCACUUUGCCAUCCUUCUUAUCCACCAAAUAUUUGGGGUAACUCCGCUUCUAGUGACCAUUUCCUUUGCAGUAGAAGCACUUAGUUUCAGGCUUAGGUCCAGCUUUGGGCUUCUUCACGGGAGUGACAACUUGCUUGCCAUUCUUCUUGAAGUUCCCUUUCUUUCCUUGUGCCCUUUACUUGAAACUAGUGGUCUUGUUUAAUCAUCAACACUUGAUGCUUUUCCUUGAUUUCUACCUUCGUCAAUUUCAGCAUCAUGAAGAGCUCGGGAAUUUCUUUCGUCAUCCCUUGCAUAUUAUAGUUCAUCACGAAGUUCCAGUAACUUGGUGAUGGUGACUAGAGAACUCUGUCAAUCACUAUCUUAUCUAUAAGAUUAACUCCCACUUGAUUCAAGCGAUUGUAGUACCCGGACAACCUGAGCACAUGCUCACUGCUUGAGCUAUUCUUCUCCAUCUUUUAGCUAUAGAACUUGUUGGAGACUUCAUAUCUCUCAACUCGGGUAUUUGCUUGAAAUAUUAACUUCAACUCCUGGAAUAUCUCAUAUGGUCCAUUGAUACGUCUCCAACGUAUCUAUAAUAUUUGAUUGUCCCAUGCUAUUAUGUUACCUGUUUUGGAUGUUUAUGGGCUUUACUUUACACUUUUAUACCAUUUUUGGGACUAACCUACUAACCAGAGGCCCAGCCCGAAUUGGUGUUUUUUUUACCUAUUUCAGUGUUUCGAAGAAAAGGAAUAUCAAACGGAGUCCAAACGGGAUGAAACAUUCGGGAACGAUCUUUUUGGAACAAAUGCCAACCUGGAGACUUGGAGUGGACGUCAAGCAACAAACGAGGCGGCUACGAGGGUGCCCGGCGUGCCCUGUAAGGGUGGGCGUGCCCCCCACCCUCGUGGGCCCCUCGAUCGUCCACCGACAUACUUCUUCCUCUUAUAUAUACACACGUACCCUAAAACCAUCAGAAGCGACCAUGAAAACCUAAUUCCACCGCCGCAACCUUCUGUAUCUGCGAGAUCCCAUCUUGGAGCCGUCGCCGGCGCUCCGCCGGAGGGGAAAUCCACCAUGGAGGGCCUCUACAUCAUCUCCAAGGCCUCUCCGAUGAGUUUUGAGUAGUUUACCAUAGACCUUUGGGUCCAUAGUUAUUAGCUAGAUGGCUUCUUCUCUCCCUUUGAAUCUCAAUACAAAGUUCUCCUUCUUCUUCUUGGAGAUUUAUUCGAUGUAACUCUUUUUGCGGUGUGUUUAUAGAGAUCCGAUGAAUUGUGGGUUUAUGAUCAAGUUUAUCUAUGAGAAAUAUUUGAAUCUCUUCUGAAUUAUUUUAUGUGUGAUUGAGUUAUCUUUGCAAGUCUCUUUGAAUUAUCAGUUUGGUUUGGCCUACUAGAUUGAUCUUUCUUGCAAUAGGAGAAGUGCUUAGCUUUGGGUUCAAUCUUGCGGUGUCCUUUCCCAGUGACAGCAGGGGCAGCAAGGCACGUAUUGUAUUGUUGCCAUCGAGGAUAAAAAAUGGGGUUUAUAUCAUAUUGCAUGAGUUUAUCCCUCUACAUCAUGUCAUCUUUCUUAAUGCGUUACUCUGUUAUAAUAUGAUCGGUCGAUGUGUGGAGUAAUAGUAGUAGAUGCAGAAUCGUUCAAUCUACUUGUCACGGACGUGAUGCCUAUAUACAUGAUCAUGCCUAGAUAAUCUCAUAACUAUGCGCUUUUCUAUCAAUUCCUCGACAGUAAUUUGUUCACCCAUCGUAAUACUUAUGCUAUCUUGAGAGAAGCCACUAGUGAAACCUAUGGCCCCCGGGUCUAUCUUUUAUAAUAUAAGUUUUCAAUCUACUUUCAUUUGCAUCUUUUACUAUCCAAUAUAUAUCAUAAAAAUACCAAAAAUAUUUAUCUUAUCAUAUUAUCUCUAUCAGAUCUCACUUUUGCAAGUUUCCAUGAAGGGAUUGGCAACUCCUUUAUCGCGUUGGUUGCGAGGUUCUUUUCUGUUUGUGUAGGUGCGUGGGACUUUUGAGGAGCCUCCUACUAGAUUUAUACCUUGGUUCUCAAAAACUGAGGGAAAUACUUACACUACUGUGCUGCAUCACCCUUUCCUCUUCAAGGAAAACCAACGCAAGCUCAAGACAUAGCAAGAAGGAUUUCUGGCGCCGUUGCCGGGGAGGUCUUCGCUCAAGUCAAGACAUACCAAGUACCCAUCACAAACUCAUCUCCCUCGCAUUACAUUAUUUUCCAUUUACCUCUCAUUUUCCUCUCCCCCUCUUCACCCUUGUCGUUUUAUUCGCCCUCUCUUUCCCAAUCUUCUUCUCUCUCUUUCGCUUGCCGUUCGUGUGCCUUUUUGCCCUUAUGGCUUUACCUAAGAACGUUGAUCUCCAUCUUAAAAGAUUGGAAGAUACUGAAUUAAACAUUAGAAGCUUUAUGACCUUACAAUUUGAGCGCAAUAGUUUCUUUAGAAAAGAGCUUAAAGAACAAAAAAGCUUUAUGGAAUACAUGAAUAAAGAACUUGAUGAUAUGUCUAAAGAGUUUUAUGGUUUGAAUUCUCAGAUUGCUUGUCUUGAAACAGCUAUUGCCCAAAUUUCUGAUAAGCAAGCCACCUUGGUCAAUAAGAUGGCUGCCAAACCAGAAGAGUUAGGAGAAAAUUGGUGGAAAUAUGCCCUAGAGGCAAUAAUAAAAUGGCUAUUAUUGUAUUUACUUGUUCAUGAUAAUUGUCUAUUAUUCAUGCUAUAAUUGUAUUGACCGAAACCGCAAUACAUGUGUGAAUACAUAGAACACAACAUGUCCCUAGUGAACCUCUAGUUGACUAGCUCGUUGAUCAACAGAUGGUUAUGGUUUCCUGACCAUGGACAUUGGAUGUCGUUGAUAACGGGAUCACAUAAUUAGGAGAAUGGUGUGAUGGACAAGACCCAAUCCUAAGCAUAGCACAAGAUCGUGUAGUUCGUUUGCGAAAGCUUUUCUAAUGUCAAGUAUCAUUUCCUUAGACCAUGAGAUUGUGUAACUCCCGGAUACCGUAGGAGUGCUUUGGGUGUACCAAACGUCACAACGUAACUGGAUGGCUAUAAAGGUGCACUACAGGUAUCUCCGAAAGUGUCUGUUGGGUUGGCACGAAUCGAGACUGGGAUUUGUCACUCCGUAUGACGGAGAGGUAUCUCUGGGCCCACUCGGUAAUGCAUCAUCAUAAUGAGCUCAAUGUGAUUAACUAGUUAGUCAUGGGAUCAUGCAUUACGGAACGAGUAAAGUGACUUGCCGGUAACGAGAUUGAACGAGGUAUUGGGAUACCGACGAUCGAAUCUCGGGCAAGUAACGUACCGAUUGACAAAGGGAAUUGCAUACGGGAUUGCUUGAAUCCUUGACAUCGUGGUUCAUCUGAUGAGAUCAUCGUGGAACAUGUGGGAUCCAACAUGGGUAUCCAGAUCCCGCUGUUGGUUAUUGACCGGAGAAUGUCUCGAUCAUGUCUGCAUGGUUCCCGAACCCGUAGGGUCUACACACUUAAGGUUCGGUGAUGCUAGAGUUGUUAUGGGAAAUAGUAUGUGGUUACUGAAGGUUGUUCGGAGUCCCGGAUGAGAUCUCGGACACGACGAGGAGCUCCGGAAUGGUCCGGAGGUGAAGAUCGGUAUAUUGGACGAAGGGUAUUGGAGUCCGGAAUUGUUCCGGGAUGACCAGGUGAUAACGAGCGUUGGGGGGCCUUAUGGGCCAAGGGGAGGGGGCACAUCAGCCCACUAAGGGGAUGAGCGCCCCUCCCACCCCAUCUCACGUAACCAGGAGAGGUGGGGGCGCCACCCCUAGGGCAGCCGCCCCUCCCGGCUUGGGGGGAAAGUUUCCUAGGGGGUGGGGGUGCCCAAACCCAUCUAGGGUUUCCCCUAUGUCCGCCGCCCCUCCCCUAGGGAACCCUAGGGCACCUCCCCCUCCUCCCUUCCCCUAUAUAUAGUGAGGGAGAGAGAGGGCAGCCGCACCCUUCCCCUGGCGCAGCCCUCUCCCUCCUCCAACACCUCCUCCUCCUCCGUAGUGCUUGGCGAAGCCCUGCCGAAGAACCACGAGCUCCAUCACCACUAUGCCGUCGUGAUGUCGGAGUUUUCCCUCAACUUCUCCUCUCCCCUUGCUGGAUCAAGAAGGAGGAGACGUCCCCGGGCUGUACGUGUGUUGAACGCGGAGGCACCGUUGUUCGGUGCUUAGAUCGGAUUCGGCCGCGAUUUGAAUCGCUUCGUGAAUGACUCCACCGACCGACUUCUUGUAACGCUUCCACAUCGCGAUUUUCAAGGGUAUGAAUAUGCACUCCCCUCUCUCUCGUUGCUAGUCUCUCCAUAGAUGAUCUUGGUGAUGCGUAGAUUUUUUUUGAAUUUCUGCUACGUUCCCCAACAGUGGCAUCAUGAGCUAGGUCUAUGCGUAGAUUCUAUGCACGAGUAGAACACAAGUUGUUGUGGGCGUUGAUUUUGUUCAAUAUGCUUACCGUUACUAGUUCUAUCUUGUUUCGACGGUAUUGUGGGAUGAAGCAGCCCGGACCGACCUUACACGUACACUUAUGUGAGACAGGUUCCACCGACUGACAUGCACUUGUUGCAUAAGGUGGCUAGCGGGUGCCAGUCUCUCCCAUUUUAGUCGGAUCGGAUUCGAUGAAAAGGGUCCUUAUGAAGGGUAAAUAGCAAUUGGCAUAUCAUGUUGUGGUUUUGGCGUAGGUAAGAAAUGUUCUUGCUAGAAACCUAUAGCGGCCACGUAAAAACUUGCAACAACAAUUAGAGGACGUCUAACUUGUUUUUGCAUCAUAUGUCGUGUGAUGUGAUAUGGCCAAGAAGGAUGUGAUGAUUGAAAUAUAUGUGAUGUAUGAGAUUGAUCAUAUUCUUGUAAUAGGAAUCACGACUUGCAUGUCGAUGAGUAUGACAACCGGUAGGAGCCAUAGGAGUUGUCUUUAUUUAUUGUAUGACCUGCGUGUCACUGAAUAACACCAUGUAAUUACUUUACUUCAUUGCUAAACCGUUAGCCAUAGUAGUAGAAGUAAUAGUUGGUGAGAUAACUUCAUGGAGACAUGAUGAUGGAGAUCAUGGUGUCAUGCCGGUGACGAUGAUGAUCAUGGCACCCCGAAGAUGGAGAUCAAAAGGAGCAAAAUGAUAUUGGCCAUAUCAUGUCACUAUUUGAUUGCAUGAGAUGUUUAUCAUGUGUUUACAUCUUAUUUGCUUAGAACGACGGUAGCAUAAAUAAAAUGACCCCUCACUAAAAUUUCAAGAAAGUGUUCCCCCUAACUAUGCACCGUUGUGAAGGUUCGUUGUUUCGAAGCACCACAUGAUGAUCGGGUGUGAUAGAUUCUAACAUUCGCAUACAACGGGUGUAAGCCAGAUUUACACGUGCAAAACACUUAGGUUGACUUGACGAGCCUAGCAUGUACAGACAUGGCCUCGGAACACAAGAGACCGAAAGGUCAAACAUGAGUCGUAUAGUAGAUACGAUCAACAUGGAGAUGUUCACCGAUGAUGACUAGUCCAUCUCACGUGAUGAUCGGACACGACCUAGUUGACUCGGAUCAUGUAUCACUUAGAUGACUAGAGGGAUGUCUAUCUAAGUGAGAGUUCAUUAAAUAAUUAGAUGAACUUAAUUACCAUGAACAUAGUCAAAAGGUCUUUGCAAAUUAUUUCGUAGCUUAUGCUUUAGUUCUAUUGUUUAAGAUAUGUUCCUAGAGAAAAUUUAGUUGAAAGUUGACAGUAGCAAUUAUACGGACUGGGUCUGUAAACUGGGGAUUGUCCUCAUUGCUGCAUAGAAGGCUUAUGUCCUUAAUGCACCGCUCGGUGUGCUGAACCUCGAACAUCGUCUGUGGAUGUUGCGAACAUCUGACAUACACGUUUUGAUGACUACAUGAUAGUUCAGUAAUGUUAAACGGUUGAGAAUUGAGGCGUCGAAGACGAUUUUGAAACGUCGCGGAACAUAUAAGAUGUUCCAAGGGCUGAAAUUGGGAUUUCAAACUCAUGCCCACAUCAAGAGGUAUGAGACCUCCGAUGUGUUUUCUAGCCUACAAACUAAGGGAGAAGAUCUCAAUCGUUGAGCAUGUGCUCAGAUUGUCUGAGUACUACAAUCACUUGAAUCGAGUGGGAGUUAAUCUUCCAGAUGAGAUAGUGAUGUUUCUCCAAAGUCACUGCCACCAAGCUACUAGAGCUUCGUGAUGAACUAUAACAUAUUAGGGAUAGAUAUGAUGAUCCUUGAGCUAUUCGCGAUGUUUGACACCGCGAAAGUAGAAAUCAAGAAGGAGCAUCAAUUGUUGAUCGUUAGUGAAACUACUAGUUUCAAAGAGGGCAAGGGCAAGAAGGGAUACUUCAUGAAACGGCAAAUCAGUUGCUGCUCUAGUGAAGAAACCCAAGGUUGAACCCAAACCCGAGACUAAGUGCUUCUGUAAUAAGGGAAACGGUCACUGGAGCAGAAUUACCCUAGAUACUUGGUAGAUAAGAAGACAGGCAAGGUCGACAGAAGUAUAUUGGAUAUACAUUAUAUUAGUGUGUACUCUACUAGUACUCCUAGUAGCACCAUGGUAAUAGAUACCGGUUUGGUUGCUAAGUGUUAGUAACUCGAAAUAAAUGGCUACGGAAUAAAUGGAGACUAGAUAAAGGCGAGGUGACGAUAUGUGUUGGAAGUAUUUCCAAGGUUGAUGUGAUCAAACAUCGCAUGCUCCCUCUACCAUCGGGAUCGGUGUUAAACCUAAAUAAUUGUUAUUUGGUGUUUGCAUUGAGCAUAGACAUGAUUGGAUUAUGUCUAUCGCAAUACGGUUAUUCAUUUAAGGAGAAUAAUGGUUACUCUGUUUAUUUGAAUAAUACCUUCAAUGGUCUUGCACCUAAAAUGAAUGGUUUAUUGAAUCUCGAUCGUAGUGAUACACAUGUUCAUGUCAAAAGAUAUAAGAUAGUAAUGAUAGUACCACAUACUUGUGGCACUGCCUUUUGAGUCAUACUGGUAUAAAACGCAUGAAGAAGCUCCAUGUUGAUGGAUCUUUGGACUCACUCGUUUUUGAAAAGUUUGAGACAUGUGAACCAUGUCUAUUGGUAUGUGCGCAUGAAGAAACUCCAUGCAGAUGGAUCGUUUGGACUCACUUGAUUUUGAAUCACUUGAGACAUGCAAAUCAUACCACAUGGGAAAGAUGACUGAAAAGCCUCAUUUUUCAGUAAGAUGGAACAAGCGAGCAACUUGUUGGAAGUAAUACAUUUUGAUGUGUGCAAUCCAAUCAAUGCUGAGGCACGCAGUGAAUAUCGUUAUGCUCUUACUUCACAGAUGAUUUGAGUAGAUGCUGAGUAUAUUUACUUGAUGAAACACAAGUCUGAAUUGUUGAAAGGUUCAAGUAAUUUCAGAGUGAAGUUGAAGAUCUUCGUGACAAGAGGAUGAAAUAUCUAUGAUGUGAUCAUAGAGAUGAAUAUCUGAGUUACGAGUAUGGCACACAAUUAAGACAUUGUGGAAAUUGUUUCACAACUAACACCGCCUGUAACACCAUAGUGUGAUGGUGUGUCCGAACAUCAUAGAUGCACCCUAUUGGAUAUGGGGAAUACCAUGAUGUCUCUUAUCGAAUUACCACUAUCGUUUAUGGAUUAGGCAUUAGAGACAACCACAUUCACUUUAAUAGGGAACCACGUAAUUCCGUUGAGAUGACACUGUAUGAACUAUGGUUUAGAGAAACCUAAGUUGUCGUUGCUAAAAAGUUUGGGGCUGCGACGCUUAUGUGAAAAAGUUUCAUCCUGAUAAGCUCGAACCCAAAGCGGAUACAUACAUCUUCAUAGGACACCCAAAACAGUUGGGUAUACCUCCUAUUUCAGAUCUGGAAGCAAAAGUGAUUGUUUCUAGAAAUGGGUCCUUUCUCGAGGAAAAGUUUCUCUCGAAAGAAUUGAGUGGGAGGAUGGUGGAGACUUGAUGAGGUUAUUGAACCGUCACUACAACUAGUGUGUAGCAGGGCACAUGAAGUUGUUCCUGUGGCGCCUACACCAAUUGAAGUGGAAGCUGAUGAUAGUGAUCAUGGAACUUCGGAUCAAGUCACUACCAAACCUCGUAGGUUGACAAGGAUGCGUACUACUUCAGAGUGAUACGUAAUCCUGUCUUGGAGGUCAUGUUGCUAAACAACAAUGAACCUACGAGCUAUGGAGAAGUGAUGGUGGGCCCGGAUUCCGACGAAUGGCUCGAGGCCAUAAAAUCCAAGAGGAUCCAUGUACGAAAACAAAUUAUAGACUUUGGAAGAACUACUUGAUGGUCGUAAGGCUGUUGGGUACACAUGGAUUUCAAAAGGAAGACGGACAAUGAUGGUAAGUGUCACCAUUAAUAAAGCUCGACUUGUCGUUAAGAUGUUUUCCGACAAGUUCAAGGAGUUGACUGCGAUGAGACUUUCUCACUUGUAGCGAUGCUAAGAGUCUGUUGGAAUUAUAUUGGUAGUUACUGCAUUAUUUAUGAAAUCUUGCAGACAGGAUGUCAAAACAUUGUCUCCUCGACGAUAUUCUUGAGGAAAGGUUGUAUGUGAUACAACCAGGAGGUUUUGUCAAUCCUGAAAGAUGCUAACAAGUAUGCUAAGCUCCAACAAUCCUUCUAAGGACUGGAGUAAGCAUCUCAGAGUUGGAAUAUACACUUUGAUGAGAUGAUCAAAGAUUUUGGGUUUAUACAAAGUUUAUGAGAAACUUGUAUUUCCAAAGAAGUGAGUGGGAGCACUAUAGAAUUUCUGAUGAGUAUAUGUUGUUGACAUAUUGUUGAUCAGAAAUGAUGUAGAAUUUCUAGAAAGCAUAUAGGGUUAUUUGAAAAGUGUUUUUCAAUGGAAAACCAGGAUUAAGCUACUUGAACAUUGAGCAUCAAGAUCUAUAAGGAUAGAUCAAAAAUGCUUAAUAGUACUUUCAAAUGAAUACAUACCAUGACAAGAUUUUGAAGGAGUUUAAAAUAGAUCAGCAAAGAAGGAGUUCUUGGCUGUGUUAUAAGGUGUGAGUAAUUGAGUAAGACUCAAGACCUGACCACGGCAGAAGAGAGAGAAAGGACGAAGGUCGUCCCCUAUGCUUCAGACGUAGGCUCUACAGUAUGCUAUGCUGUGUACCGCACCUGAAGUGUGCCUUGCCAUGAGUCAGCCAAGGGGUACAAGAGUGAUCCAGGAAUGGAUGACAGGACAGGGGUCAGACUUAUCCUUAGUAACUAGUGGACUAAGGAACUUUCUUGAUUAUGGAGGUGGUAAAAGAGUUCAUCAUAAAGGGUUACGCUGAUGCAAACUUUGACACUAAUCCGGAUUAUUCUGAGUAGUAAACCGAAUUCGUAUAGUAGAACAGUUAUUUGGAAUAGCUCCAAAUAGAGCGUGGUAGCUGCAUCUAGGAGAUGACAUAGAGAUUUGCAAAGAACACACGGAUCUGAAAGGUUCAGAUCCAUUGACUAAUAACCUCUCUCACAAGCGAGAUAUGAUCAAACCCCAUGGGUGUUGAUUCAUUACAAUCACAUAGUGAUGUGAACUAGAUUAUUGACUCUAGUGCAAGUGGGAGACUGUUGGAAAUAUGCCCUAGAGGCAAUAAUAAAAUGGUUAUUAUUGUAUUUCCUUGUUCAUGAUAAUUGUCUAUUAUUCAUGCUAUAAUUGUAUUUACCAGAAACCGCAAUACAUGUGUGAAUACAUAGACCACAACAUGUCCCUAGUGAGCCUCUAGUUGAACAACAUGUCACGGAAUGAGUAAAGAGACUUGCCGGUAACGAGAUUGAACAAGGUAUCAAGAUACCGACCAUCGAAUCUCCGGCAAGUACUAUACCGGUAGACAAAGGGAAUUGUAUACGGGAUUGAUUGAAUCCUUGACAUCGUGGUUCAUCCGAUGAGAUCAUCGUGGAACAUGUGGGAGCCAACAUGGGUAUCCAUAUACCGCUGUUGGUUAUUGGCCGGAGAGUUGUCUCGGUCAUGUCUGCAUGGUUCCCGAACCCGUAGGGUCUACACACUUAAGGUUCGGUGAAGCUAGAGUUGUUAUGGGAAAUAGUAUGUGCUUACCGAAGGUUGUUCGGAGUCCCGGAUGAGAUCCCGGACAUGACGAGGAGCUCCGGAAUGGUCCGGAGGUGAAGAUCGGUAUAUUGGACGAAGGGUAUUGGAGUCCGGAAUUGUUCCAGGGGUACCAGGUGAUGACCGGCAUGUCCGAAAGGGGUUUCGGAGGCCCCGUCAAGCGUUCGGGGGCCUUAUGGGCCAAGGGGAGGGGCACAUCAGCCCACUAAGGGGCUAAGCGCCCCUCCCACCCCAUCUCACGUAACCAGGAGAGGUGGGGGCGCCACCCCUAGGGCAGCCCCCCCCCCCCCGGCUUGGGGGGCAAGUUUCCUAGGGGGUGGGGGUACCCAAACCCAUCUAGGGUUUCCCCUAUGGCCGCCGUCCCUCCCCGAGGGGUUCCUAGGGCGCCUCCCCAUCCUCCCUUCCCCCAAUAUAUAGUGAGGGAGAGAGAGGGCAGCCGCACCCUUCCCCUGGCGCAGCCCUCUCCCUCCUCCAACACCUCCUCCUCCUCCGUAGUGCUUGGCGAAGCCCUGCCAGAGAACCACGAGCUCCAUCACCACUAUGUCAUCGUGUUGUUGGAGUUUUCCCUCAACUUCUCCUCUCCCCUUGCUGGAUCAAGAAGGAGGAGACGUCCCCGGGCUGUACGUGUGUUGAACGCGGAGGCACCGUUGUUCGGUGCUUAGAUCGGAUUCGGUCGCGAUCUGAAUCGCUUCGUGAACGACUCCACCGACCGCGUUCUUGUAACGCUUCCGCAUCGCGAUUUUCAAGGGUAUGAAGAUGCACUCCCCUCUUUCUCGUUGCUAGUCUCUCCAUAGAUUGAUCUUGGUGAUGCGUAGAAUUUUUUUGAAUUUCUGCUACGUUCCCCAACAAAAAUAAUGAUGAAGAUCUAAAAGUUAUUGAUGUAUCUCCUUUUAAAUCUUUGUUUUGCAGUAUGAAUCUUGAUAAUGAUGGGACUGGAGAUGAGUCAACUUUAGUUAAAAGGCGUCCCAAUAAUUCACAGUUUUUAGAUCUUUAUGCUAAAUUUGGUAAAAGUGGGAUUGGAGAGGUCAAGACUUUAAAAAGAAAGGCCAAAGAAAAAAAAGGCCAAAAAAGGCCCAAAAAUAUAUAAAGGGGACAAUGUUACUAUCUUUUUCCACACUUGUGCUUCAAAGUAGCACCAUGUUCUUCAUAUAGAGAGUCUCAUUUGUUGUCUCUUUCAUAUACUAGUGGGAAUUUUUCAUUAUAGAACUUGGCUUGUAUAUUCCAAUGAUGGGCUUCCUCAAAAUGCCCUAGGUCUUCAUGAGCAAACAAGUUGGAUGCACACCCACUUAGUUUUUUUUGUUGAGCUUUCAUACUUUUAUAGCUCUAGUGCAUCCGUUGCAUGGCAAACCCUACUCCUCAUGUUGACAUCAAUUGAUGGGCAUCUCCAUAGCCCAUUGAUUAGCCUCGUCAAUAUGAGACUUUCUCCUUUUUUGUCUUCUCCACACAACCUCCAUCAUCAUAUUCUAUUCCACCCAUAGUGUUAUAUCCAUGGCUCACGCUCAUGUAUUGCGUGAAAGUUGAAAAAAGUUUGAGAUUGCUAAAGUAUGAAACAAUUGCUUGGCUGAAACCGAGGUUGUGCUUGAUGGGAGUAUUUUGUGUGAGGAAAAUGAAACAUAGCCUAACUAUAUGAUUUUGUAGGGAUGAACUUUCUUUAGCCCACAAGUGUAGAGGGGUAGAUCUUGGUUUUAGAGUCUUUCAAAUUCUUCAUAGUGAUCAACAGAUAUAAAUCCGAAGUGACUCAGAGAAUAGAGCUAUCCUCCCCAGCAACGGCGCCAGAAAUUAGUCUUGAUGACCCACAAGUGUAGGGGGUCGCAACAGCUUUCGAGGGUAAAGUAUUCAACCCAAAUUUAUUGAUUCGACACAAGGGGAGCCAAAGAAUAUUCUUGAGUAUUAGCAGUUGAGUUGUCAAUUCAACCACACCUGGAUAACUUAGUAUCUGCAGCAAGGUAUUUAGUAGCAAAGUAAUAUGAUAGUAGUGGUAACGGUGAUAAAAGGUAAAGAUAGUAAUAGCAAUAUUUUUGGUGUUUUGUAGUGAUUGUAAUAGUAGCAAUGGAAAAGUAAAUAAGCGAAUCACAAUAUGUGAAAAGCUCGUAGGCAAUGGAUCAGUGAUGGAUAAUUAUGCCGGAUGCGAUUCCUCAUGUAAUAGCUAUAACAUAGGGUGACAUAGAACUAGCUCCAAUUCAUCAAUGUAAUGUAGGCAUGUAUUCCGUAAAUAGUCAUACGUGCUUAUGGAAAAGAACUUGCAUGACAUCUUUUGUCCUACCCUCCCGUGGCAGCGGGGUCCUAGUGGAAACUAAGGGAUAUUAGGGCCUCCUUUUAAUACAGAACCGGACCAAAGCAUUAACACAUGGUGAAUACAUGAACUCCUCAAACUACAGUCAUCAUCGAGAAGUAUCCUGAUUAUUGUCACUUCGGGGUUGUCGGAUCAUAACACAUAAUAGGUGACUAUAGACUUGCAAGAUAGGAUCAAGAACACACACAUAUUGAUGAAAACAUAAUAGGUUCAGAUCUGAAAUCAUGGCACUCGGGCCCUAGUGACAAGCAUUAAGCAUAGCAAAGUCAUAGCAACAUCAAUCUCAGAACAUAGUGGAUACUAGGGAUCAAACCCUAACAAAACUAACUUGAUUACAUGAUAAAUCUCAUCCAACCCAUCACCGUCCAGCAAGCCUACGAUGGAAUUACUCACGCACGGCGGUGAGCAUCAUGAAAUUGGUGAUGGAGGAUGGUUGAUGAUGACGACGGUGACGAAUCCCCCUCUCCGGAGCCCCGAACGGACUCCAGAUUAGCCCUCCCGAGAGAGAUUAGGGCUUGGCGGCGGAUCUGUAUCAUAAAACGCGAUGAAACUUUCUCUAUGAUUGUUUUCUCCCCGAGACGGAAGAUAUGGAGUUGGAGUUGAGGUCGGUGGAGGUCCAAGGGGCCCACGAGAUAGGGGGGCGUGCCCCCCUCUCUCGUGGACAGGCCGUGGGCCCCCUCGUGUAUUUCUUUCACCCAGAAAUUCUUAUUAAUUCCAAAAAGUGCCUCCGUGGAUUUGCAGGUCAUUCCGAGAACUUUUCUUUUCUACACAUAAAACAACAUCAUGGCAGUUCUGCUGAAAACAGCGUCAGUCCGGGUUAGUUUCAUUCAAAUCAUGCAAGUUAGAGUCCAAAACAAGGGCAAAAGUGUUUGGAAAAGUAGAUACGUUGGAGACGUAUCAACUCCCCCAAGCUUAAACCUUUGCUUGUCCUCAAGCAAUUCAGUUGAUAAACUAAAAGUGAUAAAGAAAAACUUUUACAAACUCUGUUUGCUCUUGUUGUUGUAAACAUGCAAAGCCAUCAUUCAGGUUUCAACAAUAUUAUAAACUAACCAUACUCACAAUAACACUUAGGUAUCACAAUUACUCAUAUCAAUGGCAUAAUCAGCUAGUGAGCGAUAAUAAUAAAACUCGAAUGACUUUCUCAAAACAAUCAUAACACGAUAUAACAAAAUGGUAUCUCGCUAGCCCUUUCUGAGACCGCAAAACAUAAAUGCAGAGCACCUUUAAAGAUCAAGGACUGACUAAGCAUUGUAAUUCAUGGUAAAAGAGAUCCAGUCAAGUCAUACUCAAUAUAAAUCAAUAAUAAUGAACGCAAAUGAUAGUGUGCUCUCCAGCGGGUGCUUUUUAAUGAGAAGGUGAUGACUCAACAUAAAAAUAAAUAGAUAGGCCCUUCGGAGAGGGAAGCGGAGAUUUGUAUAGGUGCCAGAGCUCGAAUUUUAAAAUAGAGAUUGAAUAACAUUUUGAGCGGCAUACUUUCGCUGUCAACGCAACAACUAUGAGAUGGUUGUAUCUUCCAUACUACAUGCAUUAUAGGCAGUUCCCACGCAGAAUGGUAAAGGUUUAUACUCCCCCAACCACCAACAAGCAUCAAUCCAUGGCUUGCUCGAAACGACGAGUGCCUCCAACUAACAACAGCCCUGGGGGAGUUUUGUUUAAUUAUUUUGAUUUGCUUUGAUCUUUUUGGAUCAUGGGACUGGGCAUCCCGGUUACCGGCCCUUUCUCGUGAAUGAGGAGCGGAGUCCACUCCUAUGAGAAUAACCCACCUAGCAUGGAAGAUAUAGGCAGCCCUAGUGGAAACAUGAGCGGCUAGAGCAUACAAAACAGAAUUUCGUUUGAAGGUUUAGAGUUUGGCACAUACAAAUUUACUUGGAACGGCAGGUAAAUACCGCAUAUAGGAAGGUAUGGUGGACUCAUAUGGAACAACUUUGGGGUUUAAGGAGUUUGGAUGCACAAGCAGUAUUCCCGCUUAGUACAGCUGAAAGCUAGCAAAAGACUGGGAAGCGAGCAACUGAGAGAGCGACAACAGUCAUAAACAUGCAUUAAAACUAAUUCACACCGAGUACAAACAUGAGUAGGAUAUAAUCCACCAUGAACAUAAAUAUCGUGAAGGCUAUGUUGAUUUUGUUCAACUACAUGCGUGAACAUGUGCCAAGUCGAGUCACUCAAUUCAUUCAAAUGAGGAUACCAUCCCAUCAUACCACAUCAUAAUCAUUCUAAUAGCAUGUUGGCAUGCAAGGUAAACCAUUAUAACUCAAAGCUAAUCAAGCAUGGCACAAGCAACUAUAAUCUCUAAAUAUUAUUGCAAAUAUGUUUACUUCAUAAUAAGCUGAAUCAGGAACGAUGAACUCAUCAUAUUUACAAAAACAAGAGAGGUCGAGUUCAUACUAGCUUUUCUCAUCUCAAUAAGUUCAUCAUAUAUCGUCAUUAUUGCCUUUCACUUGCAUGACCGAACGAUGUGUAUAAUAAUAGGAGUGUACGUGCAUUGGACUAAGCUGGAAUCUGCAAGCAUUCAACUCAAGAGAGAAGACAAAUAAUAUGGGCUCUAAGUUAAAUAAACAAUCAUGCAUAUAAGACCCACUAAACAUUUUCAAUAUGGUCUUCUCGACCCGCAAAGAAAAGAAAAUAAAACUAUUUACACGAAAAAACUCCCAACAAGUAAAAGAAGAACAAGAAAUCUUUUUGGGUUUUCAUUUUAAUUCUACUACAAGCAUGGAAAUUAAACUAACUAAUUUUUUUUGGUUUUUCUCAAAUUUUAUCAAACACACAAGAAGAAAACUAAAAAAAGAAAUUGAAACUAACAUGGAUAAUACAAUGAAAAAGUAUGAGCACCGACGACCAGUGUGUGAACAUGAAUGUAAAGUCGGUGAGAAAUGCGUACUCCCCCAAGCUUAGGCUUUUGGCCUAAGUUGGUCUAAUACCAGGGACCGCCUGGCUGAUAUCCAUAAGUGAAACCAGGGUCGUACUGAGAUGCAGCGGCAACCGCCUCCUGAGCUGCAGCGUGUCGGCGAGCUGCCUCCGCUCUCCUUUCGUGUUCAGCUGCUUCCUCUCUAGUAACAACAUAUCUUCCUUUUGCCUGAUACUCAAAAAGGUAGGGAGCAGGAAGAGUAACAUGGACGACGUUGCGUCUGUCAUAGGUUAGUCGAUAUUGGAGGAAUUGGUCAUUCCUCCCAAGAAAUUGAUGACUGACCAUAGCUUCAUAAUCCAAAUAAAAAGGAGGUAUUAUCAUAUCUCCCUCUCGUGGGGCUAUACCAAGAUAAUUAGCCACACGGGUUGCAUAAAUUCCUCUAAAUAAAUUUCCCUUUAUACUAUUAUUCUGCAACCUUCGUGCAACUAUUGCCCCCAAGUUAUAACCUUUAUAACCUAACACAGCACUCUUGAGGAUACUUAGAUCAGGGACACACAUGUGACAUGCUUCAUCCUUACCAUUAAUACAUCUACCGAUGAAGAGAGCAAAAUAAUGUAUAGAAGGAAAAUGAAUGCUCCCUAUGGUAGCUUGUGUUAUGUCCCUAGACUCUCCCACAGUAAUACUAGCAAGGAAAUCUCUAAAUUCAGAUUUUUGAGGAUCAUUAAUAUUACCCCACUGCGGGAGUUUGCAAGCAGUUGUAAAAUCCUCUAAGUCCAUGGUAUAAGAUGUAUCAUUAAUAUCAAAUAUGACACUAGGAGAAUUACGCGUACAGUUAUAUUUAAACCUCCGCACAAAGGAAUCAGUCAAUUGAUAGUACUGGGGACACUUAUCUUGUAGGAAGUCCUCCAGCUCAGCAUUACGCACAUACGCGUCAAAUUCCUCCUUGAAGCUUGCUUUGACCAUAAAAUCAUCAGAUGGCCACUCACAAACUCCUCAAACUACGAUCAUCACCGAGAAGUAUCCCGAUUAUUGUCACUUCGGGGUUGUCGGAUCAUAACACAUAAUAGGUGACUAUAGACUUCCAAGAUAGGAUCAAGAACACACAUAUAUUGAUGAAAACAUAAUAGGUUCAGAUCUGAAAUCAUGGCACUCAGGCCCUAGUGACAAGCAUUAAGCAUAGCAAAGUCAUAGCAACAUCAAUCUCAGAACAUAGUGGAUACUAGGGAUCAAACCCUAACAAAACUAACUUGAUUACAUGAUAAAUCUCAUCCAACCCAUCACCAUCCAGCAAGCCUACGAUGGAAUUACUCACGCACGGCGGUGAGCAUCAUGAAAUUGGUGAUGGAAGAUGGUUGAUGAUGACGACGGCGACGAAUCCCCCUCUCCGGAGCCCCGAACGGACUCCAGAUCAGCCCUCCCGAGAGAGAUUAGGGCUUGGCGGCGGCUCCGUAUCGUAAAAUGCGAUGAAACUUUCUCUCUGAUUUUUUCUCCCCGAGACGGAAGAUAUGGAGUUGGAGUUGAGGUUGGUGGAGGUCCAGGGGGCCACAAGAUAGGGGGGCGUGCCCUACAGGGGGGCGCCCCCCUGUCUCGUGGACAGGCCGUGGGCCCCCUCGUGUAUUUCUUUCACCCAUAAAUUCUUAUUAAUUCCAAAAAGUGCCUCCAUGGAUUUGCAGGUCAUUCCGAGAACUUUUCUUUUCUACACGUAUAACAACAUCAUGGUAGUUCUGCUGAAAACAACGUCAGUCCGGGUUAGUUUCAUUCAAAUCAUGCAAGUUAGAGUCCAAAACAAGGGCAAAAGUGUUUGGAAAAGUAGAUACGUUGGAGACGUAUUAGUCACCUAGCGGUGCAUCAAGGACAUAAUUCUUUUGUGCAGCAAUGAGGAUACACCUCAUAUCAUGGACCCAGUCCGCAUCAUUGCUACUAUCAUCUUUCAACUUAGUUUUAUCUAGUAACAUAUAAAACAUAGGGAAGCUAUAACGCGAGCUAUUGAUCUACAACAUAAUUUGCAAAAUACUAUCAGGACUAAGUUUAUGAUAAAUUAAAGUUCAAUUUAUCAUUAAGGACAGUAUAACCGCACCUAAAGCGAGCCCUCUCAGCACUUUGCGUUUUUGACCAUCCAUUUACACGAUCUGGACAUUUCUGGUCGUCAGAUCUCACAUGUAGAGCCAUCUAUCCGGCCACUGGCCCAGCUAUCCUAUGGGCUGCUGCUCCAGAGGCUGAAAGCAAGCCCUGUGGCUAACUGGGCCGGCGGGUGCUACGUCUUGAGCUUGCGUUAGUUUUCCUUGAAGAGGAAAGGGUGAUGUGAUACGUCUCCAACAUAUCUAUAAUUUUUGAUUGUUCCAUGCUAUUAUAUUAUCUGUUUUGAAUGAUUAUGGGCUUUAUUAUACACUUUUAUAUUACUUUUGGGACUAACUUAUUAACCGGAGGCCCAGCCCAUAUUGUUGUUUUAUUGCCUGUUUCAGUAUUUCGAAGAAAAGGAAUAUCAAAUGGAGUCCAAACGGAAUGAAACUUUUGGCAAAGUUCUUUUUGGAAUAGAACCAAUCCGAGGAACUUGGAGUGCACGUCAGAAGAUCCUCGAGGAGGCCAUGAUAUAGGGGGGGCGCGCCCUACCCUCAUGGGCCCCUCGAGGCUCCCCCGACCGACUUCUUUCACCUAUAUAAGCCUACGUACCCUAAAAACAUCGAAUGUCAAGAUGGAUCGGGAAUUCCGCCGCCGCAAGCCUCUGUAGCCACCAAAAACCUCUCGGGAGCCAGUUCUGGCACCCUGCCAGAGGGGGGAUCCUUCACCGGUGGCCAUCUUCAUCAUCCCGGCGCUCUCCAUGACGAGGAGGGAGUAGUUCACCCUCGAGGCUGAGGGUAUGUACCAGUAGCUAUGUGUUUGAUCUCUCUCUCUCUCGUGUUCCCUCUAUGGCACGAUCUUGAUGUAUCCUGAGCUUUGCUAUUGUAGUUGGAUCUUAUGACGUUUUUCCUCCCUCUACUCUCUUGUGAUGAAUUGAGUUUCCCCUUUGAAGUUAUCUUAUCGGAUUGAGUCUUUUAUUUGAGAACACUUGAUGUAUGUCUUGCCGUGCUUAUCUGUGGUGACAAUGGGAUAUCAUGUGCCACUUGAUGUAUGUUUUGCUGACCAACUUGCGGGUUCCGCCCAUGAACCUAUGCAUAGGGGUUGGCACACGUUCUUGACUCUCCGGUAGAAACUUUGGGGCACUCUUUCAAGUACUCUGUGUUGGUUGAAUAGAUGAAUCUGAGAUUGUAUGAUGCAUAUCGUAUAAUCAUGCCCACGGAUACUUGAGGUGACAAUGGAGUAUCUAGGUGACAUUAGGGUUUUGGUUGAUUUGUGUCUUAAGGUGUUAUUCUAGUACGAACUCUUGAAUAUAUUGAUCUGAAAGAAUAACUUUGAGGUGGUUUCGUACCCUACCAUAAUCUCUUUGUUUGUUCUCCGCUAUUAGUGUCUUUGGAGUGACUCUUUGUUGCAUGUUGAGGGAUUGUUAUAUGAUCUAUCUAUGUUAUUAUUGUUGAGAGAACUUGCACUAGUGAAAGUAUGAACCUUAGGCCUUGUUUUCUACCAUUGCAAUAUCAUUUACGCUCACUUUUAUCAUUAGUUACCUUGCUAUUUUUAUAAUUUCAGAUUACAAAUACUUUUAUCUACCAUCCAUAUUGCACUUGUAUCACCAUCUCUUCGCCGACCUAGUGCACAUAUACAAUUUACCAUUGUAUUGGGUGUGUUGGGGACACAAGAGACUCUUUGUUAUUUGGUUGCAGGGUUGUUUGAGAGAGACCAUAUUCAUCCUAUGCCUCCCACGGAUUGAUAAACCUUAGGUCAUCCACUUGAGGGAAAUUUGCUACUAUCCUACAAACCUGUGCACUUGCAGGCCCAACAACGUCUACAAGAAGAAGGAUGUGUAGUAGACAUCAAGCUCUUUUCUGGCGCCGUUGCCGGAGAGGUGAGUGCUUGAAGGUAUAUCUUUAGAUCUUGCAAUCGAAUCUUUUUGUUUCUUGUUUAUCACUAGUUUAGUUUAUAAAAGAAAACUACAAAAAAUGGAAUUUAGUUUGUCUCAUACGCUUCAUCUUUUUAAUAUCUUUCGUGAGUAUGAUGGAAAGGAAAAUUGUGCUCAAGUACGAGAAGGAGAAAUCUAUAAAAUGUUUGUCACUAAAUCUUUGAAUGAUGAGCAUGAUUGCAAUGUUAUUAGUAUAAAUUCCUUGAAUAUCCAUAGUACUAAUGAUGAUUGCACUAGUCAUGAUGAAAAUAUCUCUUAUGAGCAUGUCAAAUUAUGUGGAGUGCAUGUUUGCAUGAACACACCUAAUAGAGAAGAUAUAUAUUGCAAGAGGCAUAAGUAUUUAGAAACUAAAAGGUUGCAAGAAAGUCUUGAUGUUUGUGCUGAAAAAUUCAAUAUUUUUCGCGCUCCUUGUGAACUUUGCAAUGAACGUGGUCAUUUAAAUCUCCAAUGCAAAUUGUUUCAUGACCAAAUCGUAUCCAAAAAUUGUGAUAAUUUGAUUACCCUUGAGCAUCAUAAAGAACUUAGUCUUCUUUUGGGGUAUGAAGAAAUGAAACGUAUAACUGAGGGUAUUCCCAAAUUUAAUCUUGAUAGAUUUCUUGAUUUUGAUCUAGAGAAGAUUUAUUUGUAUUGUGCGGUGAAUUGCAUUGAAAAUCCUUAUAUUGCCAAUUACAUAAAGAAAAGAAAGCAAAUAGAAGAUGAUGAGAAUACUAAUGAAAGGGAAGAGACUUCCCAAUCUCCUCCUAUUAUUUCUUAUGAUGAAUCAGGUAAUGAGGAGGAGCUUUCUAUUGAACCAAUCCCAUCAAUAAAGAAGGUUGAACCCACACAUAAUGUGAGGAAGAAAAGGAAGAGAAUGAGCAGCAAAGGUAAAAAGGUAUCCCUUCCAAAUGAUGUUGCUCCUACUACUCAUUGUGAUGAUGAUAAUUGCUAUAUUAUUGGUGCUAUCCAUACUACUAAUGAUGAGAGUGAUUAUGCUUAUGAUAUGGAAAGACCCAAGCUUGGGGAAGCUAUGUUUGAUGAGUAUGAAAUAUUUGAGAAUAUAUUUGCUGGAAUUAAUGUUUGUCCCAAGCUUGGGGAUGCUACUUUUAAUGAAGAUGAUAUUUUUAGCAUCCCAAGUUUUGAUAUGCAAAGUUGUUAUGAUGAUAGCAUACCUCUUUAUGAUGAUUAUAUUGAUGAAAGUGGGUUUGGAAGAGUGUCAACUUUAGGUAGUAUAGAUCCCACUAUUUUGGAGGAUGUUGAAUAUUAUUGUGAUGAAUAUGAAAGUGGAUUUGGAAGAGUGUCAACUUUAUUUAGUGAUUCCACUAUCUUGGAAGAGGUUUCAAUCGAUUAUGAUGAGAAUGAAGUUGCUACUUAUGAUGAUUAUUGUGAUGUAACUUAUGCUAUAAAAAGUAGUGAUAAUUAUAUUUAUAAAACUUGUCAUCAUUAUGAUUACCCUUUUUCUAAACAUUACUCUUUUAAUGUGGAAACAAUUUUUAGUGUUCAAGUCUCUUAUGAUACUCCCACCAUUCCGAAUGAGAAGAAUUUUGCUUAUGUGGAGAGUAGUAAAAAUUCUAUGCUUGUAGAUCAUGAAAAGAAUGCUUUAGGUGAUGGUUAUAUUGUUGAAUUCAUUCAUGAUGCUACUGAAAACUAUUAUUAGGGAGGAACAUAUGCUUGUAGGAAUUGCAAUAAUAUCAAGUUUCCUCUCCAUGUGCUCAAAAUUUUGAAGCUAUGCUUGUUUUACCUUCCUAUGCUAAUUGAUUAUUGUUCACAUAAGUUGUUUGAUCACAAAAUACCUAUGCAUAGGAAGUGGGUUAGACUUAAAUGUGCUAGUCAUAUUCUUCAUGAUGCUCCCGUUAUGUUUCAAUUCUUAUCUUUUAUGUGAGCAUCAUUGUCAUCAUCAUGCCUAGCUAAAAAGGCAUUAAAGAAAAGCGCUUCUUGGGAGACAACCCAACAUUUACCCUUACUGUUUUUGUGUGUCCACAUGAUUAUGAUACUGUAGUAAUCAUGUUUUAUAGCUUUAGUUUCAAUAAAGUGCCAAGUAGAGCCUUUGGGAAGACUUGGGUGAAGUCUUUAUGAUCUUGCUGUGAAAAACAGAAACUUUAGCACUCACCAGAUUAGCUGCCAUUUUUUACUGGAGAGUGAUUUUAGGUUGAUUAUUUUUGCAGAUGAUUAAUAGACAAAUUCCUCAGGUCCACCAAUUUAUUUCAGAAUUUUUGGGGUUCCAUAAGUAUACGUUUGAUACAGAUUACUACAGAAUGUUCUGUUUUUGACAGAUUCAGUUUUCUAUGUGUUGUUUGCUUAUUUUGAUGAAUCUAUGAGUAGUAUCGGAGGGUAUGAACCAUAGAGAAGUUGUAAUACAGUAGGUUUAACACCAAUAUGAAUUUAGAAUGAGUUCAUUACAGUACAUAAGUGGUGAUUUAUUUUCUUAUACUAACGAAGCUUACGAGUUUUGUUUUGAGUUUUGUGUGGUUGAAGUUUUCAAGUUUUGGGUAAAGAUUCGAUGGACUAUGGAAUAAGGAGUGGUAAGAGCCUAAGCUUGGGGAUGCCCAAGGCACCCCAAGGUAAUAUUCAAGGACAAUCAAGCAACUAAGCUUGGGGAUGCCCUGGAAGGCAUCCCCUCUUUCGUCUUCGUUCAUCGGUAACUUUACUUGGAGCUAUAUUUUUAUUCGCCACAUGAUAUGUGUUUUGCUUGGAGCGUCAAUUUAUUUUGUUAGUAUUUGCUUGAUGUUAUUUAUAAUAAUGUUUUGCAUCCUUAUUUUCAAUAAAAAUGUCAAGGAUAGCCUUUACCAUGCUUAUUUUGCAUGUAUACAUGUUGCUGUUUGAAAACAGAAAGUUUACCGCUGUUGCCAAAAUUACCUAGAAAAGUCAGAGAGUGAUAUAAUGUUGAAUCUUUUUGCAUAAUGAGAUCUGAUAAAUCUUUUACAGCGUAGUUGUUUUCUUAUAAUUUUUGGAGUUUGGUAAGUAUGAAGAAUCUUGCAUUCUUUACAGACUGUACUGUUCAGGCAGAUUGCUGUUAUGUUUGCAUUGUUUGCAUAUGUUUGCUUGUUUAAUGAUUCUAUUUUAGGAAGGGAGUAUUAAAUAUGGAGAAACAUUUAGUAUGCAAUGUUGAAUAAUAAUGUUAGUAACUUGUUACAGUAGAAAAUGAUAAGGUUUUGCAUUGUUUUAUACUAACCUAUCUCACGAGUUCUUGUUGAGUUUGGUGUGGAUGAAGCUUUUUAUAAAAAGAGAAACCGUGAUAUGAGAGGAAUUAAGGAGACAUAAAAGCUCAAGCUUGGGGAUACCCAAGGCACCCCAAGAUAAUAUUUCAAGAAGUCUCAAGCAUCUAAGCUUGGGGAUGCCCUGGUAGACAUCCCACCUUUCUUCUUCAACAACUAUCGGUUAGUAUCGGUUGAGCCUAAGUUUUUUCUUCUUCACAUGAGUUGUGCUAUCCUUGCAAUGUCAUUUUUUUUGCUUUGCUUGAUGUUUGAAUACAAUACCAAGAUCUUAAAUUCUUUAAUGAGAGAGAGUCUUCACAUAGUUACAUAAUUAUUUAGCUACUCAUUGAUCUUCACUUAUAUCUUUCGGAGUAGUUUGUCGUUUGCUCUAGUACUUCACUUAUAUCUUUUUAGAGCAUGGCAGUGGUUUUAUUUUGUAGAAAUUAAUGAACUCUCAUGCUUCACUUAUAUUAUUUUGAGAGUCUUAAACAGCAUGGUAAUUUGGAUAAAAACUAUCAUAGGAAGUGAAUUGGAUGCUAUGAUCAACUUGAUACUUGAUGAUUGUUUUGAGAUAGGGAGGUAGUGGUAUUAAAGUCAUGCUAGUUGGGUGAUUAUGAAUUUAAAGAAUGUUUGUGUUGAAGUUAGCAGGUCCCGUAGCAUGCACGUAUGGUUAAAGUUGUGUAACAAAUUUGAAGCAUGAAGUGUACCUGGCUUGUGCAUCCUUAUGAGUGGCGGUCGGGGACGAGCGAUGGUCUUUUCCUACCAAUCUAUCCCCCUAGGAGCAUGCGCUUAGUGCUUAGUUUUUGAUGACUUCUAAAUUUUUGCAAUAAGUAUAUGAGUUUUUAUGCCUGAUGUUGAGUCCAUGGAUUAUACGCACUUUUACAUUUCCAUCAUUGCUAGCCUCUUCGGUACCGUGCAUUGCCCUUUCUCACCUUGAGAGUUGGUGCAAACUUCGCUGAUGCAUCCAAACCCCGUGAUAUGAUACGCUCUAUCACACAUAAACCUCCUUAUAUCUUCCUCAAAAUAGCCACCAUACCUACCUAUUUAUGGCAUUUCCAUAGCCAUUCCGAGAUAUAUUGCCAUGCAACUUUCCACCGUUCCAUUCAUCAUCAUCAUGACAUACAUUACUUCUGUCAUAUUGCCAUUGCAUGAUCAUGUAGUUGACAUUGUAUUUGUGGCAAAGCCACCAUGCAUAGUUUUUAUACAUGUCACUCUUGAUUCAUUGCACCAUCCCGGUACACCGCCGGAGGCAUUCAUAUAGAGCCAUAUCUUGUUCUAGUUUCGAGUUGUAAUUCAUGUGUUGUAAUCAAUAGAAGUGUGAUGAUCAUCAUUAUUAGAGCACUUCCCAAAAAAGGGAAAGGCCAAAAGAAAAAAAAGGCCAAAGAAAAAAAGAAAAAGAAAAAGAAAAAGAAAAAAGGGCAAGAAAAAGAAAAAAGAAAAUAAAUAAAUAAAGGGGCAAUGCUACUAUCUCUUUUUCCACACUUGUGCUUCAAAGUAGCACCUUGUUCUUCAUGUAAUCAGUCUCAUAUAUAUCAUGCUUCAAAGUAGCACCAUGUUUUCAUGUAGAGAGUCUCAUGUGUUAUCACUUUCAUAUACUAGUGGGAAUUUUUCAUUAUAGAACUUGGCUUGUAUAUUCCUACGAUGGGCUUCCUCAAAUGCCCUAGGUAUUCGUGAGCAAGCAAGUUGGAUGCACACCCAGUAGUUUUCUUUUGUUGAGCUUUCAUUCAUUUAUAGCUCUAGUGCAUCUGUUGCAUGGCAAUCCCUACUCCUCAUGUUGACAUCAAUUGAUGGGCAUUCCCACAGCCCGUUGAUUAUCCUCGUCAAUGUGAGACUUUCUCCUCAUUUUGUCUUCUCCACACAAUCCCCAAUCAUUAUUCUAUUCCACCCAUAGUUCUAUAUCCAUGGCUCACACUCAUGUAUUGCGUGAAGGUUGAAAAAGUUUGAGAUUAUUUAAGUACGAAACAAUUGCUUGGCUUGUCAUCGGGGGUAUAAAAGUUGGGAACAUCUUUGUGUGACAAAAAUGAAGCAUAGCCUAACUAUAUGAUUUUGUAGGGAUGAACUUUAUUUAGCCAUGUUAUUUUGAGAAGACAUGAUUGCUUUUAUUAGUACGCUUGAAGUAUUGCUAUUUCUUUUGUCAAUAUGAACUUUUAUUUUGAAUCACUUGGAUCUGAACAUUCAUGCCACAAUAAAGAGGAAAUACAUUAAGAAUUAUGCUAGGUAGCAUUCCACAUCAAAAAUUCUAUUUUUUAUCAUUUACCUACUCGAGGACGAGCAGGAAUUAAGCUUGGGGAUGCUUGAUACGUCUCCAACGUAUCUAUAAUUUUUGAUUGUUCCAUGCUAUUAUAUUACCUGUUUUGAAUGAUUAUGGGCUUUAUUAUACACUUUUAUAUUACUUUUGGGACUAACCUAUUAAACGGAGGCCCAGCCCAUAUUGCUGUUUUAUUGCCUGUUUCAGUAUUUCGAAGAAAAGGAAUAUCAAACGGAGUCCAAACGGAAUGAAACCUUCGGCAAAGUUAUUUUUGGAACAGAACCAAUCCCAGGAACUUGGAGUGCACGUCAGAAGAUCCUCGAGGAGGCCACGGGAUAGGGGGGGCGCCCUACCCUCUCGUGGGCCCCUCGAGGCUCCCCCGACGGAAUUCUUUCACCUAUAUAAGCCUAUGUACCCUAAAAACAAUGAAUAUCAAGAUAGAUCGGGAGUUCCGCCGCCGCAAGCCUCUGUAGCCACCAAAAACCUCUCGGGAGCCCAUUCUGGCACCCUGUCGGAGGGGGGAUCCUUCACCGGUGGCCAUCUUCAUCAUCCCGGCGCUCUCCAUGACGAGGAGGGGGUAGUUCACCCUCGAGGCUGAGGGUAUGUACCAGUAGCUAUGUGUUUUAUCUCUCUCUCUCGUGUUCUCUCUCGUGUUCCCUCUACGGCACGAUCUUGAUGUAUCCCGAGCUUUGCUAUUGUAGUUGGAUCUUAUGAUGUUUUCCCCCUCUACUCUCUUGUGAUGAAUUGAGUUUCCCCUUUGAAGUUAUCUUAUCGGAUUGAGUCUUUUAUUUGAGAAUACUAUAUGUAUGUCUUGCCGUGCUUAUCUGUGGUGACAAUGGGAUAUCAUGUGCCACUUGAUGUAUGUUUUGGUGACCAACUUGCGGGUUCCACCCAUGAACCUAUGCAUAGGGGUUGUCACACGUUCUUGACUCUCCGGUAGAAACUUUGGGGCACUCUUUGAAGUACUUUAUGUUGGUUGAAUAGAUGAAUCUGAGAUUGUGUGAUGCAUAUCGUAUAAUCAUGCCCAUGGAUACUUGAGGUGGCAAUGGAGUAUCUAGGUGACAUUAGGGUUUUGGUUGAUUUGUGUCUUAAGAUGUUAUUCUAGUACGAACUCUUGAAUAGAUUGAUCCGAAAGAAUAACUUUGAGGUGGUUUCGUACCCUACCAUAAUCUCUUUGUUUGUUCUCCGCUAUUAGUGUCUUUGGAGUGACUCUUUGUUGCAUGUUGAGGGAUUGUUAUAUGAUCUAUCUAUGUUAUUAUUGUUGAGAGAACUUGCACUAGUGAAAGUAUGAACCUUAGGCCUUGUUUUCUACCAUUGCAAUACCAUUUACGCUCACUUUUAUAAUUAGUUACCUUGCUGUUUUUAUAAUUUCAGAUUACAAAUACCUUUAUCUACCAUCCAUAUUGCACUUGUAUCACCAUCUCUUCGCCGAACUAGUGCACCUAUACAAUUUACCAUUGUAUUGGGUGUGUUGGGGACACAAGAGACUCUUUGUUAUUUGGUUGCAGGGUUGUUUUAGAGAGACCAUAUUCAUCCUACGCCUCCCACGGAUUGAUAAACCUUAGGUCAUCCACUUGAAGGAAAUUUGCUACUGUCCUAAAAACCUGUGCACUUGCAGGCCCAACAACGUCUACAAGAAGAAGGUUGUGUAGUAGACAUCAUGAUGCGGCACCGUAGCGUAAGUAUUUCCCUCAGUUUUUGAGAACCAAGGUAUCAAUCCAGUAGGAGGCUCCUCACAAGUUCCACGAACCUACACAAACAAACAAAGAACUUGCAACCAACGCGAUAAAGGGGUUGUCAAUCCCUUCACGGCCACUUGCAAAAGUGAGAUCUGAUAGAGAUAAUAUGAUAAGAUAAAUAUAUUUUUGGUAUUUUAUGAUAUAGAUUGGAAAAGUAAAGAUGCAAAUAAAAGUAGAUUGAAAGCGUAUAUGAUAAGAGAUAGACCCGGGGGCCAUAGGUUUCACUAGAGGCUUCUCUCAAGAUAGCAUAAAUAUUACGAUGGGUGAACAAAUUACUGUCGAGCAAUUGAUAGAAAAGCGAAUAAUUAUGAGAUUAUCUAGGCAUGAUCAUGUAUAUAGGCAUCACGUCCGCAACAAGUAGACAGACUCCUGCCUGCAUCUACUACUAUUACUCCAAACAUCGACCGCUAUCCAGCAUGCAUCUAGAGUAUUAAGUUCAUAAGAACAUAGUAACGCUUUAAGAAAGAUGACAUGAUGUAGAGGGAUAAACUCAUGCAAUAUGAUAUAAACCCCAUAUUUUUAUCCUCGAUGGCAACAAUACAAUAUGUGCCUUGCUGCCCCUUCUGUCACUGGGAAAGGACACGGCAAGAUUGAACCCAAAGCUAAGCACUUCUCCCAUGGCAAGAAAGAUCAAUCUAGUAGGCCAAACCAACCCGAUAAUUCGAAGAGACUUACAAAGAUAACUCAAUCACACAUAAAAGAAUUCAGAGGAGAUUCAAAUAUUUAUCAUAGAUAAACUUGAUCAUAAACUCACAAUUCAUCGGAUCUCGACAAAUACACCACAAAAAGAGUUACAUCGAAUAGAUCUCCACAAGAGAGGGGGAGAACAUGGUAUUGAGAUCCAAAAAGAGAGAAGAGGCCAUCUAGCUAAUAACUAUGGACCCGAAGGUCCGUGGUAAACUACUCACAACUCAUCGGAAGGGCUAUGGUGUUUAUGUAGAAGCCCUCCGUGGUGGAUUCCCCCUCCGGCAGAAUGUCGGCGAUGGCUCCAAGAUGGGAUCUCACGGAUACAAACGGUUACGGUGGUGGAAAUAUUUCUUCGGUGGCUCCCUUGAUGGUUUUGGGGUAUAUGGGUAUAUAUAGGAGGAGGAAGUACGUCGGUGGAUGCUCGAGGGGCCCACAAGACAGGGGGCGCCCUAUAGGGGGGGCACCCUCCACCCUCGUGGCUUCCUCGAUUGCUUCUUGACUUGCACUCCAAGUCCUCUGGAUCACGUUCGUUCCAAAAAUCACGCUCCCGAAGGUUUCAUUCCGUUUGGACUCCGUUUGAUAUUCCUUUCCUUUGAUAUACUGAAAUAGGCAAAAAAAAACAAUACGGGUUGGGCCUCCGGUUAGUAGGUUAGUCCCAAAAAUGAUAUAAAAGUGUAAAGUAAAGCCCAUAAACAUCCAAAACAGGUAAUAUAAUAGCAUGGAACAAUCAAAAAUUAUAGAUACGUUGGAGACGUAUCAUGCAUCCCCAAGCUUAAUUCUUGCUCGUCCUCGAGUAGGUAAAUGAUAAAAACAGAAUUCUUGAUGUGGAAUGCUACCUAGCAUAAUUCUCAAUGUAUUUCUCUUUAUUGUGGCAUGAAUGUUCAGAUCCAAAUGAUUCAAAACAAAACAUAUUGACAUAAUAAAUAGUAAUACUUCAAGCAUACUAAUAAAAGUAAUCAUGUCUUCUCAAAAUAACAUGGCUAAAGUAAGGUCAUCCCUACAAAAUCAUAUAGUUAGGCUAUGCUUGAUUUUCGUCACACAAAAACGUUCCCAAAUUCUACACCCCCGAUGACAAGCCAAGCAAUUGUUUCGUACUUAAAUAAUCUCAAACUUUUUCAACCUUCACGCAAUACAUGAGCAUGAGCCAUGGAUAUAGCACUAUGGGUGGAAUAGAAUAAUGAUGGGGAUUGUGUGGAGAAGACAAAAAAGGAGAAAGUCUCACAUUGACGAGGAUAAUCAACGGGCUAUGGAGAUGCUCAUCAAUUGAUGUCAACAUGAGGAGUAGGGAUUGCCAUGCAACGGAUGCACUAGAGCUAUGAAUGAAAGCUCAACAAAAGAAAACUAGUGUGUGUGCAUCCAACUUGCUUGCUCACAAAGACCUAGGGCAUUUGAGGAAGCCCAUCGUAGGAAUAUAGAAGCCAAGUUCUAUAAUGAAAAAUUCCCACUAGUAUAUGAAAGUGACAACAUACGAGACUUUCUAUAUGAAGAACAUGGUGCUACUUUGAAGCACAAAAUAUGAGACUCGCUAUAUGAAGAACAUGGUGCUACUUUGAAGCACAAGUGUGGAAAAGAGAUAGUAACAUUGCCCCCUUUUUCUUUUAUUCCUUUUUUUCUUUUCUUUUUUUCUUUGGCCUUUUUCUGGCCUUUUUUUCUUUGGCCUUUCUUUUUUUCUUUGGGGACAAUGCUCUAAUAAUGACGAUCAUCACACUUUUAUUGAUUACAACACAUGAAUUACAACUCGAAACUAGAACAAGAUAUGACUCUAUAUGAAUGCCUCCGGAGGUGUACCGGGAUGGUGUAAUGAAUCAAGAGCGGCAUGUAUAAAAAAUUAUGCAUGGUGGCUUUGCCACAAAUACGAUGUCCACUACAUGAUCAUGCAAUGGCAAUAUGAUAAACGUAAUGCAUGUCAUAAUGAUAAACGGAACGGUGGAAAGUUGCAUGGCAAUAUAUUUCGGAAUGGCUAUGGAAAUGCCAUAAAUAGGUAGGUAUGGUGGAUGUUUUGAGGGAGAUAUAAGGAGGUUUAUGUGUGAUAGAGCGUAUCAUAUCACGGGGUUUGGAUGCACCGGCGAAGUUUGCACCAACUCUCAAGAUGAGAAAGGGCAAUGCACGGUACCGAAGAGGCUAGCAAUGAUGGAAAGGUAAAAGUGUGUAUAAUCCAUGGACUCAACAUUAGUCAAAAGAACUCAUAUACUUAUUGCAAAAAUUUAGAAGUCAUCAAAAACCAAGCACUACGUGCAUGCUCCUAGAGGUAUAGAUUGGUAGGAAAAGACCAUCGCUCGUCCCCGACCGCCACUCAUAAGGAUGCACAAUCCAAGGACACUUCAUGUUUCAAAUUUGUUACACAACUUUAACCAUACGUGCAUGCUACGGGACUUGCUAACUUCAACACAAGCAUUCUUUAAAUUCAUAAUCACCCAACUAGCAUGACUUUAAUAUCACUACCUCCAUAUCUCAAAACAAUUAUCAAGUAUCAAAUUGAUCAUAACAUCCAAUUCACUUCCUAUGAUAGUUUUUAUUAUACCCAACUUGGAUGCCUACCAUUCUAGGACCAAUUUUAUAACAAUAGUAAAUGCCAUGCUGUUCUAAGAGACUCUCAAAAUAAUAUAAGUGAAGCAUGAGAGAUCAACAAUUUCUUCAAAAUUAAUCCACCGCCGUGCUCUAAAAGAUAUAAGUGAAGCACUAGAGCAAAAAUUAUCUAGCUCAAAAGAUAUAAGUGAAGCACAUAGAGUAUUCUAAUAAAUUUCAAUCAAGUAGGCUUCUCACAAAAGGUGUGUACAGAAAGGAUGAUUAUGGUAAACUAAAAAUCAAAGACUAAUAUCAUACACAACGCUCCAAACAAAACACAUAUCAUGUGGCGAAUAAAAAUAUAGCUCCAAGUAAAGUUACCAAUGAACGAAGACGAAAGAGGGGAUGCCUUCCCAGGGCAUCCCCAAGCUUAGGCUUUUGGCUAUUCUUGAAUAUCUUGGAGUGCCAUGGGCAUCCCCAAGCUUAGGAUUUUGCCACUCCUUAUUCCAUAGUCCACCAAAUCUUUACCCUAAACUUGAAAACUUCACAACACAAAACUCAAUAGGAAAUCUCAUAAGCUCCGUUAGUGAAAGAAAGAAAAACCACCACAUAAGGUACUGUAAUGAACCCAUUCUUUAUUUAUAUUGGUGUUAAACCUACUGUAUUCCAAGUUCUCUAUGGUUCAUACCCUUACAUACUAGCCAUAGAUGCAUCAAAAUAAGCAAACAACACAUGAAAGGCAGAAUCUGUCAAAAACAGAACAGUCUGUAGGAAUCUGUAACUUUCAGUUACUUCUGGAACUCCAAAACUCCUACAAAAAUAGGAAGUCCUAAACAAUUUGUCUAUUGAUCUAUAGCAAAAAGAAUCAACGCAAAAGCACGUUUCUGUGAUUUAUUGGAUUUUUUCUCGUGAGCGCAAAGUUUCUGUUUUCCAGCAGAAUCAAAUUAACUCAUAUCAUAGGUUAUCAUAUAGGUUCUACUUGGCACAAACACUAAAUAAAACAAGAAAACACAUCUAAACAGAAAUUAGAUGCAAAAUUUAUUACUAAACAGGAACAAAAACAAAGAACACAAAUAAAAUUGGGUUGCCUCCCAACUAGCACCAUUGUUUAACGCCCCAAGCUAGGCAUAAAAGUAAGGAUAGAUCUAACUAGUGCCAUAUUUAGCACUUGAUUCAUAAGUAGCUCGCAUGAUAGAUUCAUAAGGUAAUUUGAUUUUCUUUCUUGGAAAGUGUUCCAUGCCUUUCCUUAAUGGAAAUUGGAAUCUAAUAUCCCCUUCCUUCAUAUCAAUAAUCGCGCCAAUCGUUCUAAGGAAAGGUCUACCAAGAAUAAUAGGGCAAGAAAGAUUGCAAUCUAUAUCAAAGAACGAUAAAAUCAACGGGCACCAAAUUUCUAUUUGCAACAAUGAAAACAUCAUUGAUCCUUCCCAUUGGCUUUUUAAUGGUGGAAUCCGCAAGGUGCAAAUUUAAAAAGCAAUCAUCAAGAUCAUGGAAACCUAAAAUAUCACAUAAAGUUUUCAGAAUCGUGGAAACACUAGCACCCAAAUCACAUAAAGCAAAACACUCAUAAUCUUUAAUCUUUAUCUUUAUAGUAGGUUCCCACUCAUCAUUAACUUUUCUAGGUAUAGAAACUUCCAAAUUAAGUUUUUCAUCAAAAGGUUGCAUCAAGGCAUCAACAAUAUGUUUGGUAAAGGCUUUAUUUUGACUAUAAGCAUGAGGAGAAUUAACAACGGAUUGCAACAAGGAAAUACAACUCUCUAAAGAACAAUUAUCAUAAUCAAAUUCCUUGAAAUCCGAGAUAGUGGGUUCAAUGCUAUUUAAAGUCUUGACCUCUCCAAUCCCACUUUACCAAAUUUAGCAUCAAGAUCUAAAAACUCCAAAUUAUCGGAACGCUUUUUAAGCAAAGUUGAUUCACUUCCAGUCCCAUUAUUAUCAAGAUUAAUAUUGCAAAACAAAGAUCUAAUAGGGGACACAUCAAUAACUUUAAGAUCUUCAUCAUUAUUUUCAUGGAACUAGAAGAACACUCUUUAACAAAGCAAUCUUUCUUAGCAAGAAAUCUAGCGGUUCUUUCUUUGCACUCGUCAAUGGAACUUCUCAUAGCUUUGAGAGACUCAUUGAUAUCAUGCUUAGGAGGAGUAGAUCUAAGUUUCAAAGAAUCAACAUCGAGCAAAAGUCUAUCGAUGUUCCUAGCCAAAUCAUCAACUUUAAGCAAUUUUUCUUCAAGCAAGGCAUUAAAAUUCUUUUGAGAGAUCAUAAAUUCUUUCACACUAUUUUCAAAAUCAGAGGGCAUCUUAUUAAAAUUACCAAAAGAAUUAUUGUAGUAAUUUCCAUAAUUAUUAGAGGAAUUACUAGGGAACGGUCUAGAAUUAAAGUUUCCUCUAUAAGCAUUGUUACCAAAAUUAUUCCUACCAACAAAGUUCACAUCCAUAGAUUCAUUAUUAUUCUCAAUCAAGGUAGAUAAAGGCAUAUCAUUGGGAUCAAUAGAAGCACUCUUAGUAGCAAACAGUCUCAUAAGUUCAUCCAUCUUUCCACUCAAAACAUUAAUUUCUUCUAUAGCAUGCACUUUUUUACUAGUAGAUCGUUCGGUGUGCCAUUGAGAAUAAUUAGCCAUAAUAUUAUCAAGAAGUUUUGUAGCAUCUCCUAAGGGGAUUUCCAUAAACGUGCCUCCCGUGGCCGAAUCUAAAAGGUUUCUAGAAGCAAAAUUCAAUUCGGCAUAAAUUUUUUGUAUGAUCAUCCAUAAAUUCAAACCAUGAGUAGGGCAAUUGUGAAUCAUUAAUUUCAUUAUUUCACAAGAUUGGGCAACAUGCUCAUGAUCAAGUUGUUUAAAAUUCAUAAUAUUGUUCCUAAGCGAGAUGAUCUUAGCAGGAGGAAAAUACUUAGAGAUAAAAGCAUCUUUGCACUUGUUCCAAGAAUCAAUACUAUUUUUAGGCAAAGACGGAAACCAAACCUUAGCACGAUCUCUAAGUGAAAACGGAAAUAACUUAAAUUUAACAAUAUCAUUAUCCGUAUCUUUUUUCUUUUACAUCUCACACAAAUCAACAAAGUUGUUUAGAUGGGUAGCGGCAUCUUCACUAGGAAGGCCGGAGAAUUGAUCUUUCAUAACAAGAUUCAGCAAAGCAGCAUUGAUUUCAAAAGACUCAACAUCAUUAAGAGGAGCAAUCGGAGUAAUAAGGAAAUCAUUAUUAUUGGUAUUGGAAAAAAUCACACAAUUUGGUAUUAUCUUGUGACAUGGCGACAAGUAAUCCAACACUCAAGCAAACAGAAAAAGGGCGAGCGAAAGAGGGAGAGAAAAAGGGUAAGCGAAAAAGAGAGGAGAUUGGGAAAGAGAGGGCGAAUAAAACGGCAAGGGUGAAGUGGGGGAGAGGAAAACGAGAGGCAAAUGGCAAAUAAUGUAAAUGCGAGGGAGAUGAGUUUGUGAUGGGUACUUGGUAUGUCUUGACUUGAGCAAAGACCUCCCCGGCAACGGCGCUAGAAAUCCUUCUUGCUACGUCUUGAGCUUGCGUUGGUUUUCCUUGAAGAGGAAAGGUGAUGCAACACAGUAGCGUAAGUAUUUUCCUUAGUUUUUGAGAACCAAGGUAUCAAUCCAGUAGGAGGCUCCUCACAAGUCCCACGAACCUACACAAACAAACAAACAACUCGCAACCAACGCGAUAAAGGGGUUGUCAAUCCCUUCACGGCCACUUGCAAAAGUGAGAUCUGAUAGAGAUAAUAUGAUAAGAUAAAUAUAUUUUUGGUAUUUUAUGAUAUAGAUUGGAAAAGUAAAGAUGCAAAUAAAAGUAGAUUGAAAGCGUAUAUGAUAAGAGAUAGACCCGGGGGUCAUAGGUUUCACUAGAGGCUUCUCUCAAGAUAGCAUAAAUAUUACGGUGGGUGAACAAAUUAUUGUCGAGCAAUUGAUAGAAAAGCGAAUAAUUAUGAGAUUAUCUAGGCAUGAUCAUGUAUAUAGGCAUCACGUCCGCAACAAGUAGACAGACUCCUGCCUGCAUCUACUACUAUUACUCCAAACAUCGACCGCUAUCCAGCAUGCAUCUAGAGUAUUAAGUUCAUAAGAACAUAGUAACGCUUUAAGAAAGAUGACAUGAUGUAGAGGGAUAAACUCAUGCAAUAUGAUAUAAACCCCAUAUUUUUAUCCUCGAUGGCAACAAUACAAUAUGUGCCUUGCUGCCCCUUCUGUCACUGGGAAAGGACACGGCAAGAUUGAACCCAAAGCUAAGCACUUCUCCCAUGGCAAGAAAGAUCAAUCUAGUAGGCCAAACUAAACUAAUAAUUCGAAGAGACUUGCAAAGAUGACUCAAUCACACAUAAAAGAAUUCAUAGGAGAUUCAAAUAUUUCUCAUAGAUAAACUUGAUCAUAAACCCACAAUUCAUCGGAUCUCGACAAACACACCGCAAAAAGAGUUACAUCGAAUAGAUCUCCACAAGAGAGGGGGAGAACAUGGUAUAGAGAUCCAAAACGAGAGAAGAAGACAUCUAGCUAAUAACUAUGGACCCGAAGGUCUAUGGAAAACUACUCACAACUCAUCGGAAGGGCUAUGGUGUUGAUGUAGAAGCCCUCCGUGGUGGAUUCCCCCUCCGGCAGAACGCCGGCAACGGCUCCAAGAUGGGAUCUCACGGAUACAUAAGGUUACGGUGGCGGAAAUAUUUCUUCGGUGGCUCCCUUGAUGGUUUCGGGGUAUAUGGGUAUAUAUAGGAGGAAGGAGUACGUCGGUGGACGCCCGAGGGGCCCACAAGACAGGGGGCGUGCCCUAUAGGGAGGGCGCCCUUCACCCUCGUGGCUUCCUCGAUUGCUUCUUGACUUGCACUCCAAGUCCUCUGGAUCACGUUCGUUCCAAAAAUCACGCUUCCAAAGGUUUCAUUCCAUUUGGACUCCGUUUGAUAUUCCUUUUCUUUGAUAUACUGAAAUAGGCAAAAAAACAGCAAUACGGGCUGGGCCUUCGGUUAGUAGGUUAGUCCCAAAAAUGAUAUAAAAGUGUAAAGUAAAGCCCAUAAACAUUCAAAACGGGUAAUAUAAUAGCAUGGAACAAUCAAAAAUUAUAGAUACGUUGAAGAUGUAUCAGCGGGCAGUUCAUUUAUCAACCGAGCACAUACACAGCCCAGCACGGUCCUCGCUCCCGUGCCCACGAGCCUCGUCUUCUCCCCCACACCUUUAUUUCGUCUUCCUCCUGCUGACCUCUCGACCUGGCCGACCUAAAGAUCUUCUCUGAUCCACCGCCGCCUCCUCACUACCCCGCCUUGCCUUAGCGCCAGCCAGGGCAGACGCUUCAAUCCCUCACCAAACCCCCUUGUCUCUCUCUCCUUCGCCCACUUAAUCUGGUGCUCGAUCUCGAAAUCCUCCGCCCAUCGGAGUCGACACCAACGGCGGCGCUGCUGCUCGAGGACCCUGUGUCUGAGCCCCCUCCACUCGCACCAUGUGCCUUCGCCUCACCGUGCGCCUCUGCAGGCCAUCGCUCCCACCACCGCCUUCCCCACCGUGUGCACCCGGACGACGCCCUCGGACCCUCUGCAGGCGCCCACCAUCAUGUUGGCUCCAAACCCUGACAGCGCCCUGACUAGGUGUCCUCUCUAGAACGGGCGAUCGGCAAGGAUGUCGGUGAUGCACGGGGUGCGGUCAAGAACUUCCAGGUUGAGCUGGUUGCGGUCGUCCCGCCGGCAGACCAUCUUGUCGUUGUAGUGCUGCUCUUUGUGAUAGGGCAUGAGCAGGAUGUCUGCACGAACCUCGUCCGGACAGCGUCGGAUGGUCUUCAGGAAUCUCGUGGCUGCAGUAUAGGUGCACAUCUUUCUCCCUGCGAUACAGCUAGAUGAAUACUGUCCUUACCGGUUUAUUUCGUGAGAGGGUAAAAUAUAUCUGCACAUUAUUUACAAGCGUAUCAUUUUACCCGUCUCCCAAGUGCGCCCUUACCCAUGAUGGUAAUGGCCACGGUGACGAGCUUCCUCUCUAUUCAGGAUGAUGGAUUCACGCACACCAUCAUGAUUAAAACUGUGUGCCUCUCCAUCGCCACAACCAAUUUCCCUUCCUAAGGUUGUCUGUAAUUUCACAUUGAUCAAUUUGUCAGGAGCAGGCCCACAUGUAGCAAGGUAUGGCGCUGCAAAAUCAAUGUAGACUUCAUUCCAGACAUUAUAGUUUGAAACUCUUAAUGAUUUAUUUUCCCCUCGUUUGCAAUGCCAAUUAACUACUGAUUUUUUUCAGGAGCAAGCUGCACAAGAAAUUUCUUGGAAUCAAGAUACUCACCUUGAAUUUAAUAGUAAGGGGUUGAGCCUUGGACAUACUAGAACAAGAACAAUUUAUUAUCAAGAUAUCAGCUGUGCAAAUCUGCAACGAGAUCAUCAAGGAUCUUCUAUGACCUGACUCUGGCCCCCUUCGCUUGUUAGAUGAUCCUGAGGUUUGCAAUUUUGUCCAUGCGCGGGCACGCACAAAUACACAUGAUUAAAGAGAAAGGAAACAUCAUGGAUAAGUUGGAUGAAUGAAUCACCAAGGACAGCCAGUAUUUAAGGCAUCUAAUAGCCGUUUGUGAAGGCACUGCUACAUAUGUAUGUAUGUAUAUAUAGCCUACCAUCCGAGAAAGAAGAAGAUGUGUAGUGAUAGUUACCCAAUGACCUUCCAAAUAACUGCAGAACAAAGACAGGUUGGGGAAACUGAACUAAACGCAAGUUUACGUUCCCACCAAAUCAUUU
Molecule: long non-coding RNA, 49526 nt
Filed under: Triticum aestivum (bread wheat)
Lineage: Eukaryota; Viridiplantae; Streptophyta; Magnoliopsida; Poales; Poaceae
Description: long non-coding RNA (TAES_LNC012428)
Source: RNAcentral